RNAcentral lists this long non-coding RNA (69843 nucleotides) under Capsicum annuum. Its description in RNAcentral is "long non-coding RNA (CANN_LNC010805)". The stretch from base 66899 to 66971 matches the Rfam family "tRNA". Lineage: Eukaryota; Viridiplantae; Streptophyta; Magnoliopsida; Solanales; Solanaceae. The record is from RNAcentral.
GAGUCGAGCAAUAUAGAUUUCUAGGAAAUGUAAAGUAUACGCAGUCCAUACCACUACCUUCGAAGAAGUAGAGAGGUUGUUUGUGAUAUACUCCCAGCUAAGGACUCAAUUUUCAUGAGUAUAUAUGUAGUAUAAUUUCUAGCAAUGUUGCUCGAACUCUUUGAAAAUAUCGAUAGGUGUAUGUCAGAUACUUUAAAAGUAUUACAAGUAUGGAGUAUUCGAUACAAAUGCGGCAAUAUUUUUGAAGAAUUGUCUAAGAAAUAUAGAUUUCUGGGGAAGGAAAGUGUAAGCAGUCCAUACCACUACCUUCGAAGAAGUAGAGAGACUAUUCCGAUAGACCCCUCGGUUUAGGAAUAUAGAUUUUUUGGGAGGGUAAAGUAUCAGCAGUCCAUACCACUACCUCCGAAGAAGUAGAGAGGAUGUUUCCGAUAGACCCCCGCUCAAGACUCAAUUUUCAAGAGUACGUAGUAUGAUUUCUGGCUAUGUUGCUCGGACUUUUCAAAUAUAUCGAUGGAUGUAUGUCAGAUACUCCAAAGUAGUACAUAAAUGGAGAAUCCAAUACAGGUCCAGCAGUAUUUUUGAAGAGUUGUCUAAGCAUUGAUAUAGAUUUCUGGGGAGGGUAAAGUGUACAUAAUCCAUACUACUACCUCCAAAGAAGUAGAGAGGUUGUCUCCGAUAGACCCCUGAUCAAGAUCCAAUUUUCAUGAGUAUGUAUGUAGUAUAAUUUCUGGCUAUGUUGCUCAGAUUCUCUUAAAUUUCCACGGGUGUGUGUAUGAUACUCCAAAACAGUGGAUUUUUGAAGUAUCUGAUACAAUGCAAUAAUAUUUUUGAAGAAUCGCCCGAGCAAUAUUGUUUUUUGGUCCCUCAAUUAUCAAUGAAUUCUAAAUUUUGUGGUUGUAGUAGUUAGUUAAGUACAUCUAACCUUCAAUUAAUUCACUAAAAAGAAAGAGUAAUUUCGUCGAAAAUGUUUCAGAUAAAUUUUCCAUCGGAAAUACCUUAAAGAACGAGUCAAUUUUUGACGUAAUGGCCGUUGAAAAUUCACGUUUUUAUUGUAGGAAUUAAACUGCAUGAUUUUGAUCCCUUUAUAUAGAAAAUAUAUGAUGCUUAGACUAUUUACAAAAAAAUAUAUUAUACUCGACUACGAAGAAAUAAUACAAAUUCAACAUAACAUAUACAUAGUUAUUAAAUAAUUUAACACUAAAUAAUUCGUUAAAUUUGUGAAGAUUCAAAAGUAGAUGGAUCAAAAUGUAGAUACCAAUUAAUUGAAGGUUAGAUGAACUUAACUAGAAAUUUUAAGGACAAAUAUUGGAAUCUAUCAAUACACGAGGGACUAAAAGUGCAAAUUUCACUUACAUUAAAGAAUAUUAGUAUUAAUUUUUAUAAAAUUAGAUGAAUUACUUACUAUAAAUCCUUUGAGAUUUAUGAUAGGAUGUGAAAAUUUCUUGUUAUAAUUGAAAAUUGCUUCUGCUAAUUGAGGAACAUAAUGCCCUGCAAAUCCAAAAAAAAUAUUAGCAAAAUUAAUUAAAAAAUAUCACCAAAAUUAAUUAUAGAAUUAGAUUUUUUUUUUUUUCAUUAGAAUACCUGCAUAACUCUCGCCAGCAAUAUAAAAAUCUCUAUAUUUAUAUUGAGGAAAUCUUGACAUCCAUCUGGUGAGGAAUAUUAGUGCGUCCUGAGCUGUGCCAAAAAAAUAAAUAGCUCUAAAAGUUAAAGCUAAUAUGCCAAUGCUAAAAUAUUUAAUAACGUAUUUUAGACUCCUAAAAUUUAAGGCCUCAAAAAAUUUUAGUUGUUAAUUUUAUUUUCUCUUGAUAAUGUUGAAUAUAGUAAUGGAAAAAAAACUAUCAUAAUUCAAUAGAAAUAUUUUGAAAUUUUGAAUUAAACUAUUCAAAUUUUUAUUAUAAUAAAUAAUAUAUUCACAGUAACAUCUAAGGUAAUGUAUUGAAAAUGCAUGGUUAAUGUAUUAUUAACUUGAAUCAAUUCUUAUUAGUAUAAAUAAUAAUAUUAUUAUGUAAAAUAUAAUACUACACUAAAAAUAACAAUCGUGAAAAAAAAAAUAUUAAUAUUUUAUUUAUUUUGUAUAUGUAUGUUUGUAAGGUUUCAGAUUAAAAUAUGAUUUUAGAUCACUAAUUUUAUUGAGAUUUUCUUGAUCUAGAAGGAUUAAUUUAAUAGUUCAAGGGCAAAUAUGAGUCCAUAAUUGAAUGACAAGAGUAAAAUACUUUUUUUUUUUUUUUUUUUUUUUUUUUUUUUUUUUUUUUUCAAUAUCAAACAAUCCUCCACAAAAUUUUGGAUUGUAAUGUAAUAAUUUUUUAUUAAAUUCAAUUUGCAUAAAAAAAUACUUAAAUUAUAGUUAAAAUGUCAGUAAAUUUACAAGACAUGUAAAAAGAGGACUAUUGACUAAAUAGUUGUCCCAAAAAAUAAAUAAUCGGUGUAAAUUUCUUAAGACCUGCUCCUUUUUGUUAUAUUAAUUUUAAGUUUUGUUAUUUUAUUCCUAUUUUUAAAGUUUUGCAAAUAUGCUUUUUGAUCAAUAAAACAUUACACUGUCAUUAAAAGUCUACAAAAUUUAGACCGUCAUCUAAUAUUUUUUAACAAGACUUCAUAUUUGUGCAUAAGAAAUUUUUGGCAGAUUGUAACUAAUAUUUUCUCAGAAGACUUUAUAUUUGUGCAUAAGAAAUUUUUGGUAGAUUAUGUAUCGAUAUCUAUAAUUUAUAAUCUAUAAUUUAUCUAUAAUAUAUUAAAAGUCUGAAAACCCUUAGAAAAGUGAAUCAAACGUUUUGCCCUUCAUUAAAAUCAAACGUUUUGCCCUUCAUUAAAACACUCUGCAAUAGACAAAACUGUCUUUUCACCUAUUUUCUUUCAUUAUUAUAUUAUUAAAUCAAGCACUCCUAAAAUUAUAUGGAAAACCCUGAUAAAAUAAAUAUAUGAAAAGAUUAAGAAUCUUAGACUACAUAAAAUAUAUGAAUCCUAAAAUAUAUGAAAAAAAAUUAACAUUCCUAAAAUAGUAUAUGUAAAGAAUCACAUUAAAUUCUUUUUUUAUCUUUUUCAACGUUUUCUUUUGAUUGCAAAUUUUAAGCUUCUUCGGAUAUAGUGGUAUGGAUUGCGUACAUUCUACCCUCCUCAAACCCCACUAUGUGGGAAUAUACUGGGUUUAUUGUUGUUGUUUAAAUUUACCUUCAAAAUAAGUUCGUUUUUUUUUUAUUGUUGCUGUAAAUUAGGCUUACCAAAAUUGAAAAUCCUUAAACUUCUAAGAUGAUUUUUUCAUAACCUUUUAUUAUUUGUAUUUGCCUUAGUAAAUAAAUCAUUAGUGAUUGAUUCUUUAAUAUGUUUGUGCAGAUGAAAAAAGAUUUAUGUGAAACAUGUGGACAAAACUUCGUAUCGAUUACAAGUGAAUUUAAGUUAUGUUUUUCUAUUCUAAAUUUUAUUUUUUAUUCAUAUUAGUUCUACUUCUGAUUAUAACGUAAUUCAUGUUAAUACUCUUUUAUCAAAAGCAUACUUACAUUACAAAAAAAAAAAACUAUUGAGAUAAAAAUAAAGUGAAAAUUGUGAUUUCUCAUAAUACCAAAUAAAUCAUAGUGUCAAACAAGUAUUAGACAAAGUCAUUAGUUGGCUAGAAGAUAAAAUAUAAUGGUAAUUAGAGAUUUCAUGCAUUAGUAAAUCAAAUUUAUACGUGAAUUCAUUCUUCCAUCAGAGAUAAUUUGAAUUGCUCAUUUUACGUUUUAGUAUCGUCAUCAAGACUCUAAAGUAUAUUUUUCCUUUCAAAGUAUAACAUUAAAUAAUUGAUAUUUCAAUAUAUCAUAUUUUUUUAAUUUUUUGUCCAUAUCUUUAUUUUAUAAUUUAUGAUUAUUUAUCUGGAAUAACAAGAUGCAUGAAAUGGAAUGUGAUUUUACUUGCCUUGACCUGAACAGUAUGAAAAGAGAGAAAUAUGAUAAUUUUUUUUGAAAGGUAAGCUUUUCUUUAUCGAGAAAUUAACCUUACGUAACUUUAAAUGGAUCCAAUUCAUAAAAGUAGAAUUUUAAAGGUGGAUCAAGUAUAUUGUUCGAUAUAAAUGAUAGAAAUUUAUUUCUUUAUAUACACUUACUAUUAUCUUAAUACACACGUGCAAUUGACUAGUAACUUUAAAAGGUCUGUGAACUAUAAGAGAUAUAAAAAGAGGACUAUUUACUUAGACAACUAACUUAAAUAUUGGUCCAUCCACCCUUUAAACUAAAAAUAGCCGAUUGAUAUAUAAUAUAAGUAUAGAGAAAAUGCAUUAUUUUCAUUCUAAACUAUAAACGAAAUUACCGAGACACACUCCAACUUAAAGGGGCUUCCAUUAUCUGUGCUAAUUAAAAUCAUAUUUUUGACAAUCUUAAAGCUUAUGUGGCAUAUACGUGAUACACUGCGUGAAUCAACAUACUGAAGGUUUACGUAGGCACACGUAUGUGCCACGUAGACACUUAAGGAUUGUCAAAAAUAAAAGGGGUAAUAGGACCCCCUUUAAGUUGGGUGUGCCUCAGCAAUUUCGUUUAUAAAUAGUUUUAAACAGUGAAUCUGAUUGAUUAUUUAUGUAAGAAACCCCACUUCUUGUUAUAUAUACCGGCAAUAUAAUUUUUCUUGACUAUCAUUGUUCGUUAUAAUUUAACAUGUUGUAAUAUAUUACUCUUUUUUAAAAAAAAAAAAAUUUAUUGAUCUCAAUUAUCAUUUGAUAGUGUACAAAUUCGUUUAAAAUUAUUAGUGUAUAUAAGUUAAACCUUUUAUAGAUAAAUAUAAAUAAAUAAGUAUAUAUGUACCUGUUCUUUUAUCUCCAGAAUCUUCAAGAUCAGAGCUUGUAUUUGUAUAAGAAAAUCCAACACCAGCAGGAGAUUCCAAGAAGAGUAUAUUUGCCACUGCAUUUAUUAAUAAUUUUUGCAAAUUAUAUUCUUUCAUUUUUUACUGAUAUUUUUCUUUAAAAAUUAUAUUUAAUUUAUAUUGUUUAAAUAAAUAAAAAUAUAUAUAAAAAAUAGUUUUACCUUUAUUCCAAGAAUAUUUGUUUAAAUAAAGAGAAGAACCAUUUUUAUUGAUUCUAAAUGGACCUAUUUCUUCUGAUGCUCCAUAUGCAACUGAUGAACAACCUGGACCUGCAUAUAGAAAAAAAAAAUUCUAUCUAUCUAUCUCUCUCUGUAUAUAUAAAAUUAACCUAAAUAGCAGUUCACCGAUUUAUUUAAAUUAAAUGACAGGUGAAUAUAUAGUUCAACAUAUUAAUUAUCAAAAAAAGAAAAAAUUAUGAAAUUUAUCGCUCAAUAGCCUAUAACUAAUCGUAACAAAGAUAUUUUUUGUUGUUCAGCAAUAGAAGUUGUCUGUCGUUUUUCUUUUUCUUUUCAAUUUUUCAUUUUGGUUUCACAUAUGCAUUUAGUAUUUAUAUUAGGGUUCGAUUAAAUUUUUGGUUCGCGCAUUGCACAAGUAUGUUUCCCGAGGACUGGUAGUGGCCGGUAUGGACUGCAUACAUUUUACUCUUUUCAGAUUUCACUUGGUGGGAAUACACCGGAUACAUUACAGUUGUUGUUAUUGCAUUGCACGAGUCAUUUCUGAAGGCGACUUUGUCAAUAAUUUUUUUAAAAUUCUCAGAGGUUUAAAUACGAUACAACUGAUUAAGAAUAGACGAAUCUCAAUCAUCUUGCCAUGAAUUAUCUUAAUUUUUUUUUUUUCAAGUUAGUUGUAUUUGAACAUGAUUGUAUUUGGAUAGAAAGAUGUGGAAAACACAUGAAUUUCAUAAUUUCUAUACACAAUCAAUUAAUGAAACAAUCCUCCAUAGCUCAUUAUUCACCUACCCAUCCCUUACUAUCAUUUAUUAUUACUACUACUACUUUUUAUUUCUCUUUAUUUUAAAUUUUUCCAACAGUUAGCUUCAUGUUAUUAAUUCACAAGACAAUGACCCUUCACUAUUUUUUUCCGCUCGGUGUUUGGUAUUCGCAUUGAAGUUUUGAUUAAUUUGGAUUGCGUACUACAUGUACUAACGGAAUCAGAUUUUUCAUUGAGGGGGUUCAGAAAUAAACAUACGAACUAGCUGAAGAGAGUUCAACAUCUACGGUGUAUACAUAAAAAAUAUUCUUAACAAUUUAAAAAUUAUAUCAUUUUUCAUCGAAUAGUGUUCGAAUAAACCCGCUGGAUGAAAGGUGGCUUCGCCCCUGACUGUAUGGUCUAUUCUAGAGUUGACGCUCCCAGUAGAAUUUUCUUUAUACUUGGGAUUUAAACUCGAAAUCUCUAAUUAAGGGUAGAAUAAUUCCCCCGCUGCACCACAACUCAUGUUCGUGCCUUCACUUCUUUUUUUUUUUUUUUUUUUAAAAGAAACCUUUUUCUUUUUAUUUAUGGUUCAAUAGUGAUAGCUCACAUAAAAUUCACCAAAAAAUUAAAUUUUCCAGUCAUGUACUUAAUUUCCCUAUCAUCAUGAUGACCAACAUUAUUAAUUUUCUCUUAUUGGUAGGUUUCUGAAUACUCAUGCUCUAUAUUGUUACCAUAUUACAAUUUUUUUUAGAUAUUUAUAUUAAAGAUCAACUAAUUUAAAUUUGUAUAUAUUGCAUAAUCGGUACAGAAAAAAUAUGAAUAUACCUUUGAUCUUUGAAAAAUGAUACAGAUAUAUCCCUCGUUAUAUUUUAGGGACAAUAUACCCUCGCCGUUAAUGAAAAUGUAUAAAUAUACCCUUUUCACUUAUGGAGGGAAACGUAUUGAUUUUCUAUUCGCUAGCUCUUUUUAAUUAAAUUAAUUCCAAAUCCGACCCAAAUUAAUAAAUGUAGAAAAUGUCGGGUUUGGUUUUAAUUUGGGUCGGUGUAGGCUUUAAUUUGGGUCGUAUUUUGGAUUAAUUUAACUGAAUUUAAUUAUAAAAAGCUAGCGAAUAGGAAAUCAACAUGCGUCCCUCCGUUAGCCAAAAGGGUAUUCGUACCUUUUCAUUAAUAGCGAGGGUAUAUUUGUACCUAAAGUAUAACGAGGGGUAUAUUUGUACCAUUUAUUAAGUUCAGGGGUAUAUUCAUACCUUUUUCAUAAUAGGUAUUUAGAGGAAACGUUCCUAGCAUGAUUUUUUUUUAUUCAAAUUCGAACAGAAAACCUUUAACUAAGAUGCAAGCAUUAGUAACAAUGCCAGAUCCAGAAUUUAGGGGCCGUGGGUGCUCGAAAGGUUCGAAUACAUAUAUUGAGUUUCAAAACGUUAAGGUUUUGCCUGAAAACUAAAACACCCAACUAUCAUCUUGACUUACCGAAUGCUUUUCUAAAUUUUUUAUCAAAUUUUAUAUAAUUUUUUAUAUAAUUAUACUUAAUCUGUCUCGAAUUUAAUGAGUGUCAAAACACUAAAGUUUUGGCUAUAGAUCCGCUCCUGAUUAGUUAAACACAUGAUUUAUAGGUCACAAUAUGAUUUUAUUUACACAAUAUGAUUCUUCAGAAAAAUUGUUAUCUCCUUCUUUUCAAUUUUUAUUUUUAUGAUAUAUUUUUCUUUUAGUCAAUUCUAUAAAGAAUAACAUAUUUUUAAAUUUGAAAACAACUCACUUUACACUUCUAAUUUUCACCAUUAAUUUUUAUAACCAGAUACAUAUUAUGAUAUGUUUUAAGGGAACAAGUUUUAGAAAUUCUACCGCUACACAAAUAUUAUGAUCAUGACAUAUCUUAUAUUUAGCCAGUUUCAUUUUACUUAACCUUCUUUGACUUGACACACGUCUCAAGAACCUAAUAACUGAAGAUGUAUUUUAUAAAUAUGUCAACCCUUUACAAAUUCAAACUAUAUGUACAUAAAUUAUUGGCAUAGAGGGUGAUUUUAUUUUCUUACUUUAUUGUAUAAAGAAAGAGAUAAGCAUUUAGUAUUCUCGGAAUUAUGAUCAAAGUUGCUACGACACACUUUAAUUUCAUAGGAGUUCUAUUACCUUCCUCAACUUAAUUUUAGCAUAUUUUUAUCACUUUUUUGUGCUGACAUGACGCAUUUAUUACAUAAAAUAGGACUCACGUCAAAGGUGUCACGUUAGUUAAAAAGAUCAAUAAAAAAUAUCACGUCAACUAUAAACAUUGAUAAAAAUAUAUUAAGAUUUAGUUUAAAAAAAUAAUAACACCUCUGUAAAAGCAUAUCAUAACAAAUUUCACCAUAACUCGAAAUAUUAAAUGCAUAAGAAAAGUUUGGUGAAUGGUAGAAAAUGGAAAGAAAAGUACAAAAUAGAGGGAAAGGAGUUCUACUUUUUUGUUAAAUUUGGAAUGUUGUACUUUGUUUGUUUGUAUCAUAAAAUUGUGGAAAAAAAUACGAAAAAGCAUAGUCCAAAAAUGCAGCUUUUUGUACGCAUACAAACAAGGAAUAAACUUAGAACAAAAAAGGAAUAAAAAGAGUAUGAUGAUAUCACGAGCACUUAUGCAUGAUCUUUCAUUUUCCAACAUUACUUUUUAUUUGGUGAUAUUCGUAUUAGAGUUUCGACUGAUUCAGAUAUAAGUCGUGUAAGAUAUAUUAAAUAAAAAAUAAAUAUAUUUUUCAAUUAUAAUAAAUAAUAUGUAUAUAUUCUUUGUCAUAAUUUGGAUAUAUAUAUAUCUUUAUCGUUAAUGAAAUGGUACGUAAAUGCCUCUCCACACUAACAGUUAAUCGUUUUGGGUAAAAAAAUUAAGACGAAAAAGGAAUAAAUAUAUCCUUGAAUUAUGACAAAUGGUACGUAUAUACUCUCCGUCAUGCUUUUGAUACACAUAUGCCCCUACCGUUAAUGAAAUGGUACGUAUACGUCCCUCGCACUAACGAUUGGGGCAUAUAUGUAUCCAAAGUAUGACGGAAGAUAUAUACAUACCAUUUAUCAUAAUUCGGGGGUUCAUUUAUCCACUUUUUGUUUUAAUACUUUGUAGAAAUAUACUGAUAUGUUGUUAUUGGAUUGUUAAUUAAAGACGAAUUCAAAAUUCACAUUAAUUAAAUUUAAAAGCAAUGUAAUCGACUAUAUAUAUUUAUAUAUAUAGUUUAAAAAUAUUUUUCUUUUACCUAUUAAGUAUUAAUCCAUGUAUUUAUUUCAUAUAUUAUAAUUUCCAUUAUGUUUGAACCUUACUCAUAAGCACAUGUAUCAUGUGCUGUCCUUAUUUCAUUAUCAUUUAAUAAUAAUUAUUGCUUUAAUUUUAGUUUUUGAUUAAAUAUCAGUAUUUUGCAUGGAUAAUAAGAUACUAAUUAAUGGUUUGCUAUUAAGAAAAUCAAGAAAUUCUUGUUUAAUUUUCUUAAAAUACAUAAAAUAACUCAAAUCUAACUCAGAAAAAGUUGUCCAACUUUCCUUAAUUUAUGCAACUGAAAGAGUUCAUAUGCAACAAACAUUUAUUAUUAUUUUUCAAAAUAGUAUUUCCUCCUUUUUAAUUUAUUUUUUUUCUUAUUUUUCAUGUUAACCUGUUUAAAAAAGAAUGUUUGUUUUUAAUUUAGUUAAUUCUUUAAUUGAACAUUCCACGCAUCACAUGUUCAAAAUUAUAAGGUUAAAGAAUAUUUUGGUACACUCUACGCAUCUUUUAGUUUAAAAUCAUAAGAUUCAAAUUCAGUAUAAUAUCAAAAUUAGAUAAAUAAAUUAAAACAGAGAGAGUAUAACUUCUUUCCUCCCUAAAUUCAAAAUUUUAAGUCAAAGUACUAAAGAUAGAGAAGAUGUUAAGAUUCUACCAAUGCUUAAUCCAUUAUGUUUAGGAAGGAUGAAUGAUAGAGAUAAAUUCAGAAUUUAAAUUUUAUAUCAUUGUAUUUUUUAAUUAUAGGGUCAUUGCGAAUUCAGAAUUUAAAGCUUAUGAAUUCGUAAGUAAUUUUUACUUUUUUUAAUUAUCGAAUUCUAAUUUAAACAACAUAGUCUCACAAGGUGAGGUCCGAGCGCAAGAUAAAAUAUAUGCAAACCUUAUCCUACCUACGAAGUUCGAGAAAUUGUUUUCAAAAGACUUCAGGAAACACAAUCUUAAUUCUUGAACACGGUUAGAGAAAUUUCUAAUAAUUAUAGAAUUCAGAAUUUAAAGCUUAUGAGUUCGUAAUUAUAAGGGAAGUCCGGUGCACUAAAGCUCCCGUUAUGCGCAGGAUCCUGAGAAGAGCCCCACCACAAGGGAGUAUUGUAUGCGGUCUUACCUUGCAUUUCUGCCAGAGUUCGUAAUUCUAAUUUUUUUUAAAUUAUUGAAUUCUAAUUUAAACAAUAUAGUCCCACAAGGUGAGGUCCAGGUGCAAAUAAAAUGUAUGCAGACCUUAUCCUACCUCACGGAGGUAAAGAAACUAUUUUCAAAAGACCCCAGAAAACACAAGGUUAAAUCUUGAACACGUUUAACGAAAUUUUUAAUAAUUAAAAAGAAAAUUAGAGUAUACUAACUAACCUCCAUUGAGCCAAAGAACAAGAGGUUUCUUUUGAGGAUGAUUAGUAGCUUCUGUCAACCAAUAAAACAAAGCUCUUCCAUGGCUUUCAUUGACAUUAACAUAGCCAGAAAAUUGUGAAAAUGUAACCAUAGGUUGUCCUGGAAGUGAUGUUAUCUUAUCCAAUUCUUGUUCUUUUGUUGUUGUUAGGGCAACAACAUUAGUACUAAUGGUUAAAGAAAAAAUAGUUAUGCAUAGUAGAAAUUGGAUCAAGAAAAAUGGAUGAUGAUUUGGUUUAGUUUGGGAUGAUGAUGUCAAUGCCAUUGUACUUAUUAGUUGUUGCUCUAUCUUUGAAUAAUAUGUAUGUUACCUAAAGAAGGUAGGAGUAUAUAUACAUAAGACGAGAUGAAGGUUACUACUCCCUCUGUAUCAUUUUAUGUGUCGUUAUUUGGCCAGACACGAAGUUUAAGAAAUAAAUAACGAUUUCAUAAAGUUUACAAAAUAAUGCCUUUUAAAGCCAAUUUGAUAUUUACUUUUUAGUUGUUUUUUCUUAUUAAGUGGGACUCAAUAAGGACAAAAUGAGAAUGAUGUCAUUAGAUUGUUGCUAAAUAAGGAAAGAUGACAUUAUUUUUUUGGGACGAAUCAAAAAGAAAAUAAUGACACAUAAAAUGAGACGAAGGGAAUAGAAGUUUUUGUUUGUUUGGUUUGUUUUGGUUUGUUUAGAGGAUGGGAUUGUGGGAAUUAAUGAGGGGAGGUAUAGAUGUGCUAAUAAUGAGUUAGAUCCACUCAAUAGGCCGUCGGAGGAUCGCUUGAGAAGUUUCACCCAAAAUCUUGCUUGAAGCUCGGGCUCAUCUUCGAAUGGUGGGCUAACACCCAUCGAAAGUUGCAAAACACUCAUAAUUCCUGUCGAUUCGCCCGUUUGACUUUGAAAAUGGCUCCAUCAGCUUUGUCAAAACUUUGUGCCCGGUCAAACUAUGACACAUAAAAUUAAAUGGAACAAAGGGAGCAUAUGUUUUUGUUUGUUUUGUUUGUUUUGGUUUGUUUAGAGGAUGGGGUUGUGGGAAUUAAUGAGGGGAGGUAAAGAUGUGCUAAUAAUGGGUUAGAUUCAUUCACUAGGCCAUCGGGGAUCGUCCGAGAAGUUUUACCCAAAAUCUUGCUUGAAGUCUAGGCUCACCUUCGAGCCGUCGGCUAACACAUACUGAAAAUCAUAAAAAGUUUAUAAUUUUCGCUGUUUCUUCCGUUUGACUUUGAAAAUGGCUUUACUGGUCCCGCCAAAGCAACCAUAUCUACUCAAUAGGUCGUUGGGGAAUCAACCAAGAAGUUUCAUCCAAAAUCUUGCUUGAAGCCUGGGCCUACCCUCGAAUCGUCGGUUAACACGCAUCGAAAGUUGUAAAAAAUGCAUAAUUUUUGUCGUUUCGCCCGCUUGACUUUGAAAAUGCCUCCAUUGGCCCCGUCAAAACAACCAGAUCCACUCAAUAGGCCGCCAAGGAUUGCUCGAGAAGUUUCUCCCAAAAUCUUGUCUAGAGGGUGGAGCACUGGGACCAAAGGCCGGCGGUUGGUUUACGCUCGGAUUACUCCUUUUAUGAUGAUGGUGUUUGGUUCAGUUUGUACAAUGUACGUGACUUGACUAAUUUUGUCGAGUACUUGUUAUCUAUCACCGGGCACCAGAUAGACGUGGAUGUGACAUAUCUGAGAAGUAAGAAAUAUAGUAAACAUCGUAAAGGCAUGUAGCAGGAGUUGCAAACUAAACGAUACACAAUUUCAUUCGAAAGAUAUAACGUUAAAAGUUGUAUUAACGUACGAGCAAAUUUGCAUAUAUCUCUACUAAUUUCACAAAAUAUAUAUUAUUUUCAAUGAUAUAGGUACAUAGUAACUCUUGCUUACUAAAUCUUUGACAAAUGGGACAAAAUCAUUUUUAUAUGACCUCGUGAUUCUUCCAAUUUCAUUGACCAUUAAAUCAAACUUUACAAACUAAUUUGCAAAUUAAUUAAUUUAUUUUCUAAUAGGUUGGGGUAAGAUGCAAUGAUAGGGGGUGUGGGUUGUAUGACUUUAGUAUUGAUGUCAUAACAUUAGUUGUUAUUGUUAGAAAAUGUGUACCCCAUUAAAUAUUUAAGUUGGGGCCUCCCUUUGUCUCUUUUCAUCUUUUCAAUUAAAUAAGAGAUGUGACUUUCUUCUCUCGGAAAUAGUCUUUCUAUCUCUGAGUUAUUGAUACGAUCUGUGAUAAAAUUUAUUCGCACUUGAUGUAUACAUUAAACUAAUGUACGUCAUCACAGUUAAGUGAUUAAAUAAAGUUAAAUACAUGUUAAUAAAUCAUGGUUAAUUAACUAAGCUGACCUCUAAAUUCAAUCACAUGACAUGCAUGCAUGCAUGUAUUGACUUGAUAUAUACACUGGGUGCGGAUAUAUAAGUCGAAAUUAUUCUGUGGGCAUAAAUUACCAAAUAUGAACAAUUGAUAUACUCAGGGGCGGAGUUACAUGUAAGUUAGGGGGUUCAUCCAAAUCCCCUUCAACGAAAACUUAUACUAUAUAUACAUGGUUAAAAUUAUUUUUUAUGUAUAUAUACUAAAUGUCGAACCUCCUUCGGUUAGAUAAUCGUAUGUUCACUUGUGAACUCCCUUGCUGAAAAUCCUGGCUUCACCACUGGAUAUACUCAAUUUAAUCCCACGAAAAGAAUUUGAAAAGGAUAAACUACGUACAAAUCGUAAAAAUUUACCUGCACUCAAUGUAUACAUCAAAUCAAUAAUUCAUUAUUCAGAUUUAAUGAUUCAUUACCAAACAUCUUUUAUUUUAAACUUUUAAAUAGUAGAGGUUGUGCGAACGUAUUAACGCUAUUGUAACAAAUUAUGACAUAAGUUCAAUCACUUGGGUAAAUCUCACGUGGUCAUCCCAUAGAAGCGCGAUGAAGUCGCUAGCCUAGGCCAUGAGUCUUAUUGAUAGCUCAUUGUUCGAUUAUUAAAUUUUAAAAUUUAAACUCGUAAAAUUUAAAUUUUAAAUUGGACUAUAUAUAUACUCAUUAUUUACACCCACAUGCAUCUCUGGCUUUAUAGGGAAUAGUGGUCCAAUGUAGUAGGAAAAUAAAAGGGCAAUAGGUUAAAUGAGAAGAAUUUAAUAGAAAGAUGUGUGGGGUUUUGGAUUAUAUUCUAUAUGAACAUAUAGUACAAGAGAAAAAGUUUAUGCAUAUAGAGACCAAGAUUGCAUUUUUAUACAUUUCAUAAAUAUUAAAAAAGUAAUUCCAUCCAUGUAUUAAAGUUUCUGUUAAGCGCGGAAUCCGAUAGUGAUAGAUUAAGAAUUUAAGAGUUGUGGUUGUUCAAAAAGUUCAAACACAUGAUAUUGGCACCAGAACUUUAAGGUUCCACAAGAAAAUCAAAGCAUCCAACUAUCUUUUUUAUUUCAUGGGUGUUUUAUUUUUUUUAAUAUGUUUCUUAUAUAGUUAUAGUUAUUCUGUGUCGGGUUUAAUGGGUGCUAGAGCAUCAAUAUUUUCAACCUCGGUCCGCCCCUGGAGUUCGAAAGAAGGCCGAAUUAUAAGAGUCUAUUGUACGCAAUUUUACCUUACAUUUCUGUCACAGAUAUUUUCACGGUUUGUACUCAUAACCUCUUGGUCACAUUAUUGCAACGUUAUCGGUUACUCCAAAGCUUCUAUUCACAUUUCAUAAAUAUUAAAAAAUAAAAAUCAUUAUAAUCUUUGCUCUUCUUGGUAGUUGAAAAAUCAUGAAGACUUUCAUCAUUAUCUAUUUCUAUGGUACAUGUAGAUUUUUUAUUAUUAAUUUUUUUUUUGGUUUGUAUAUGAAUACUAUAUAUAUAACAUGUCCAAAUCUUGAAAAUAAUGACAAAUUAGCAAAGGCAUUGCUGAAUUAUGUGAUUAGACAAACUGAAUAAGAAAUUAUGGCAGUCAAAGUUUCUAUUCAUGAAUAUGACUAUUGUGUAGCUAGUAUUAUAUAAUAUAAUAUUUUAUUUAAAAUUAUAUUAUAAAAUGAAAAUUAUCAAUUUUUUCCUAACGUCUCUUCGAAAUUUGACUCCUACGAAUUUAUGUUGAAAUCUUUCUACGAAUUGAUAAAUUACUCUUUAUUCAUAUAAUGUAUACAACUUUGAUUACUGAUUGAAUCGAUUGAAUGAUUUAGUUGAUUCUGAAUAUCAGAUAAUUAUAUAAUAAUAAAAAAGUAGAGUUUUAUGGGUGGAUAAUCAACCCUAUCUAAUUAUUCCCUUUUGGUUUAAUCUAUCAUCAUGUGAGUUUUAUAAAUUUUGAUGUUGUAUUUGUCAAAUUAAUCUAUCAUUUAAUUACUCAUUGCUAAGUAGUUAGGCUAAGGUUGGUUUUAGUAUCUAGUAAUCCAUGUGGUAUGUCAAUAAUAAUAAUAAUAUCAUUAUUAUUAUUAUUAUUAUUAUUAUUAUUAUUAUUAUGGAAAAAUAACAUAAACAUACAUCUUAACUUAUUAUUAUAUUUACAUAAAUCUCCACUCUUACAAAGUAAUUACAAAAAUCUCAACUAAUUAUGUAUCUUCGUUGGAUGUAUCGGAAGCUAAUUAUGUAUCUCGACAGACCAAAAAUCGAAAUUUUUUUAUCAGAAACUAAUUAUGUAUCUUUGGGAAAAAAUGUAUCUUUGUUGGAUGUAUCGAGAGCUUAUUACAUAUCCUGACAGAUUCAAAAUCGAGAUUUUUAGUAAUUAUGCAAAAUAUCAGAAUUUUUCGUAACUAAGCUCCAAACUGUCGGGAUUUAUGUUAUUUGCCCUAUUAUUAUUGCUACAAUUUUAUUUUUCUUUUAGUUAUAUUUGCUUAUUAGUCAAUUGUUACCAAAAAUUGAUGUGAUAUUUGGCCAUUCUCUUUUGUCCUGAGUUGUGUUUUAUGCAACAACUAAUAUAUAUGGUUGAAGCUUAUGAAUUCAAUAUUUUAAUUUUUUUUUUCCAAGUUAUUGAGUUUUAAAUUGAUAAUUUAUACAUAUUUAAUAAAUUUCUCAAGACAAAUGCUAAAUUUAGAUUAAAAUUACUAAGUUCAACUGAAUUUAUAAACUAUAUUGUAAUCCCAUUCAUAACUUAUAUAGGCUAGCUUAAGAGAGAAACGCUCCUUAUCAUGAAUUUCUUCUUUUAUUGGGCUCAAAAGAACUAGUUACUUAUAACAACAUAAGAAAACUCAAUUAUUGUUCAUAAAUCAUUUAUUUAGCAAGAAAAUAAUAGUCUAAAAUAUCAUUUGUCUAAUUGCUAUAUAUCUUUACUAAUAUUAAUAUAUAGAACUUAAUUUGAUAAGGAAAGUACAAUUAUUGGUUUAUCACUUUGGAUUAUGUAGAUAUAGAAUAAUAUUGUUAUUAUGUAACAACUAGUCAAUAAGCUAGAGAUAAUUAAGUUUAUCUGGUCAAACAUUGGGAGCAUAGGACAAUAAUAACGAUUUAAGAUAUGAUAUGAAACAACUUAAACGUAAUUAUUUUUUGUCAAAAAUAGAGGUCAUACAUAGGACAAUAAUAACGAUAGAAUUAAGAUAUGAUAUAAAUAAAACAAAUUAAAUGUGGCUAUCUUUUGUCAAAAAUUAUUAGGGGCAUAAUAUUAAGAACAACAAUACCGAUAUAAGCUAUGAAAUGAAAUGAACAUUACUAUCACUAGUUCAUCGUUAAUUAGAAGUCUCGAGAUUGAGUCCUAACUAUGAAAUCUCCUUCGAUGGAAAGCGUCAAACCCUUAAAGUGGAACUUUCCGGCUAGAAUCUAAAUUAGACGAACGUCAAAUCAAAUAGUAUUAGACACAAAAUAAAAAAAAAUGUCGGCAUGAUAUAUAUAUAUUUAUACAAGAACAAACAAGUACAAAUUAAAAUUAUUAGUUUGGUAUAUGAAUAGGAUUCAUCAAUUAAAUAUAGUGUUAAAUGCAUGUUGAAUUGUAGCUUUUACCACUUGCAUGUGUGCAUUAAUCUAUCAUAGGUCUCACAACCCUAAACUUGUCUCCUGUUAUCGAUCGCAGAGUCAGAAAUUUUAAUUAAAGAUCUUCGAAAAUGCAAAAUUAUUGCAUUUUUGAAUCCAAACGUGUAACUUGAUGAAGUCUCUAUCAACGUAAAUUGUACUAAAACAUCUCCUACAUGUUGACGUGAUUCAAUAAUUUAUAUAUAUUGUAUAUGAGAUGUAUAUUCACACUUCAUGAAUUCUGAUGUUUUUGUUGAUCUGUACUGAAUAACGAGCUAAUGAAUUUCAGAAGUUUGUAGCAUUGGUAUCGAUAAAUAAUUUCGAUUGAAUUCUUCAUCUUUUUAAAUAAUGCCUAUACCAUCAACUCAUUCUGAAAAAAGUAUUUCAGAAUUCGAUGAUAAGAUUUUGAUACUCAACAACCUCUGUUAAAAAAAUCACAAAAAUUUAGAUAUUUUAUUACAUAACUUAUUAAUACGAUAUAAUUUUUUGAUGAAUGAGAUUCAGUUCAACCCUUCAAUAAAUUAGCCCUACCCUAGUUGUCACAUGCAUCUCAUCUAACCCUUUGCCUCUUUCUUCCAAACCUUUCAAAAAAAAGAAAAAAAACAUAAUUGCAAAACAUUUAGUAUUUCUGAAUUAUGACCAAAUUUGUUAUAAUAUAUUCUAAUUUUACGGGGGUUCUAUUACUUCUGAACUCAAUUUUAGCGUAGUUUUGUCACCCUUUUGUACUGACGUGAUACCUUUUGUCAACCUUUUUGGCUGAUGUAGCACCUUUGAUGUGAGUUUCAUUUUAUUUAAUAAAAGUGGCACGACAGCAUAAAGAGUAACAAAAAUAUGCUAAAAUUCAGUUUAGGAGGAUAAUAGGACCUUGUGAAGUUAAAAUGUGUCGCAGCAACUAUGACCACCUUGGAAAAUUGAGUUUGAGGGGAUGCAGAAUGUUUAUCUCAAAAAAUUAAUAUAACUUGCAAUAAACAAAAAAGAGAAAAUACUCAGUUUCCACCCUGAAUUAUAAACGAAAUUGCUGAGACACACCUGAACUUUAGAAGGGUUCUAUUGCCCCUUUGGACUAAUUAAAACUGUACUUUUGACAACCUUAGUACCUACGUGGCACAUACGAGUGCCUACGUGGACCUUCAAUGUGUUGAUUCACUGAUGUGUCACGUAGGCACUGAGAUUGUCAAAAAUAUGAUUUUAAUUAAUUCAGGGAUAAAUUCGGGUGUAUUUUAGUAAUUUCGUGUAUAGUUCAGGAUGAAAACAGAGAAUUUUUCCGACAAAGAAUACAUUGACUGUAGAGGCUUUAGGUCAAUGAAAAGCCAAAAAAGUCAAUCAAGACCUAAAAAUAAUAUAUACUAUAAAUUAUUUGCUUUGAAUUUUGGUCUUUAAAUAUACAGUAUUAUAAGAUUAAUGAAAUCUUGCCCUAGACUUCUGAAAAGUUGUUUCCUGCAGCUUUUAAAUACACACAUAAAUAUAGUGACAAAAUUUUUUUAUCUAGUCUAAACAUAAAAGAUUUAUUGCUAAUUUUAUUUAACGAAAAACUAACAGAUAACUUCUAUCGCGAUUCAUUGCUAAUCUUAUUUAACGAAAAAUUAAUGAUGAAUUAACAGAUAACUUUUAUCGCGCCCAAACAUAAAAAAAUCAUUGCUAAUCUUAUUUAACGAAAAAUUAACGAUGAAUUAUCAAAAAAUCAUGUUAGCUACGAAAUUUCGAUGAAUAUCCUUUGAAAAAUUCCAUUCUUUUUUAACAGUGACACCCCUUCAAUGAAAAAAAUUACUAAUUAUAAGUUAUUAAAACCUAUUCUAUCUCAUAUCCUUUAAUAUCAACAUAUUCAUUUGAUAAAAUCUAAAUAAAUUACAUAUAUUUUCCAUUUUUUUUCCUUUAAGAAAAAAAAGAAGUGAAAUUGUUGUCUUUGAAUUUAUGUUUCUCCACAGGAUUCUCAUGUGCAUCUAAGAGUAUGUUCUGACUUGAAAGUGAAAUAUCAAUUUAUUUUGUUUCUUUCACAAACUUCUUGCAAUUUAAUUUAUUUUAUACAUAACAACUAGUUGAACUUUCUAGGAAACUCCUUUGUUUUUGGAGUAAAUUACCCGUAAUUCCUGAAUUAUGAUCAAAUUUAUUACGAACAUUCCAAUUUUAAUGGGUUCAAUUACCUUCUUGAACUAAAUUUUAGUGUAUUUUUUUUCUAUCUUUUUAGCUGAUGUUGCACCUUUUGUCAACCUUUUCAGCUUACGUGGGUCCAUUUUAUAUAAUAAAGAUGUCACGACAGCACAAAAAGGUGAUAAAAUAUACUAAAAAUGAGUUCGGAGAGAUAAUAGCCCCCCUGUGAAGUUGGAGUAUGUCGUAACAACUUUGAUUAUAGUUCAAGGGGAUACUGGAUACUUAUCUGUUGUUUUUGCACGGGUAAGUUUAGCUUAUUUAUAAUUUCUCCCUCCAAUGGAUAGGUGUAUAUUAAUAUAUAGAUGAUAUUAUAAGUAGAAAAACGAAUGUCAAAUGGAUCGACAGAUUUUUAAAUUUGGCGCAAUCUUUUAUUUUAGUACUUAAAUUAUGUUGUUCAUUUUAAACACCUAAAUUAGUCUCCAACUGCUUUAAGUGUUUAAAAUGGACAACGUCCGUUUUAGGUGUCAAAAUGAAAGUUCGUGUCAAGUUUAGAGGUCUAACGAUGUGUUUGACCGAAAAAGAAUAACCAAUACUUAGAGCGUGAAACUUGUAAAAAAUUGAUAAUUCAGAUGUGUUUUGACUAAUAUCUUUCAACAGAUAUAAUUGAUAUUUCAUAAAAUACACGCUCUUUCUCUCAUACUCAAAACUAGGGGUUUAAACUAAGGCAAACAACAUAAAUCUCGAUAGUUUGGGGCUUAGUUAUAAUUUUUUGAUAUUUUACAUAAUUAUUGAAAAUUUUAAUUUUGAGUAUGUCGAGAUCUAUUAUUAGAUCCUGAUACUUCUAAUGAGAUAAAAAAAUUUCUUUGUAAAGAUACAUAAUUAACUUUCGAUAUAUUUUUUUUUCAACUUUGGGUCUGUCGAGAUACAUAAUUAGCUCCUGAUAUAUUCAAUGAAGAUACAUAAUUAGUUUAAAUUUUUAUAAUUACUUUGUAAGGGUGGAGAUUUAUAUAAAUAUGGUAAGUUAAGUUGUAUGUUUAUGUUAUUUUUCCUAAACGCUAUAAUGUGUGUGUAUAUAUAAGUUCUCAUUUUAUUAUUAUGUGUUAUAUAUCUAAUUAAUUUGUACUAUUAAUGUACUAUACGUAGACCUACAUAUUACAUCCCUAUGAAAGAUAAGACUAUAGCCAUUAAAUCAAAAUAUCACUUCCAUACAACAAUAUGGCACCCUACUCUUUGACCACUACAUAGUUCAUAAUCAUUAAAUUGACUACUAUAUCAUCCUUUUCUAUGACCCAAAAGUGGUCUCAUUCUGUCGUAAUUUAUGUGAUACUUUUUGAAUUUUGAGAUUUAAAUAAGUUUAUCUUUGGUCGUAAUUUUUACAUAUGUACUUUUAAUAUUUUGAAUUAUCAAUCAUUGUAAUUUAUAGUACUUUUUACGUAGGUUUCAAAUAUAUAAAUUUUAUUUUAAAAAAAUAUAAAUGUAAGAUUUCAUGCCCAAAUUUAUAAUCAAAAUUAAAUUAUUUGACUCUCGAAAAGUAAAAAGUGUCACAUAAAUUGAGACAAGGAAGUAGUAUUUCUUAUGGAGUUUAUAAAUUUUGGAAAUAAUUUUAGAUAUACGAGACUGAAGUUGUGUGAAGUGUGACCUUGUUAAGGUCAAAUAUUGGACUCAAACUCGCUUUUUCGCGAGUUUCAUCCUCCAACUAUCAAUUAUUAUUAUUAUUAUUAUUAUUAUUAUUAUUAUUAUUAUUAUUAUUAUUAUUAUUAUUUUCUUAUAUGAAUUAUCACUAUCUAUGUAUUAAGCACAACUCAACUAUCAGUUGUUCUGUUUUCCUAUUUGAACUAUCAUUAUCGCUCGUGAAGAAAAAUGGAGCAACCAAUAGUUUUGGUUUGUAUAUUUAAAUACAUAAAUUGUGAUAGUUCGGGUAAUAAAGGAAAACAACAACUAAUAGUUGAGUGAGCAGCUAUAUAGAUUAAUUCUUUGAUUAGACCUUUUGUAGAAGUAGAUCUGAAUAGUUUGUAGGAAAAAUAAAAUAAACAUAUAUACACCUUAACUUACUAUAUUUACACAAGUUUCCACCCUUACAGAGUAAUUACAAAAAUCUCAACUUAUUAUGUAUCUUCAUUGGAUGUCAUCGGAGCUAAUUAUGUAUCUCGACAUAUCCAAAAUCGAAAAAAUAUAUCGGGAGCUAAUUAUGUAUCUUUACAAGGAAAAAAAUGUAUCUUUAUUGGAUGUAUCGGAAGUUAAUUACGUAUCUCGACAGUCCAAAAUCAGAAUUUUCAAUAAUUAUGUAAAAUAACGAAAUUUUCUGUAAUUAAGUUCCAAACUGUCGGUUUGAUGUUGUUCAUCCUAGUUUGUAAUAUGGAACUGGUUGCUAAUUAAAAAGAUAAUUGUUCAGGCCCAUUGGGCUACAUCAGUGGGAUCCAAACAAAAACCCAAAUUCAAAUAAAUUGGGCCUUAGUGUUGAUAUUGGACAAUGGACAUGAUAGUGAUCAGAUUCAGAAGCCCAAAUUGUUUUAAGACCAUUUGACUAGAUAAUGACUACAAUGGAUUCAAAAUUAAACACCCAAAAUUGAAUCGAACCAAUCGAUGAAUAUCCUUACCUGUUAUCGGUGCUGGAGUCAUAAUUUUCCUGACUAAGAGGGUUCAAAAUAUAACGAGAUAAUAAACGUACGAAGCAGUCAAGGAGAUUCAACGUCUAUUUUAUGUACCUAGAAAUAGCGUUGACCUUAUAUAAAAUGCAAAUGUUUUACGAGAUAGUUCGGAUAAAUCCCUUGCAAUAUCCUAGCUCCACCCAUGCAUACUCUAGAUAGAAGUCCUGGUACAGAUUCGACCGAAUCUAAUAGCUUUUAGAUAGAAGCCCUGAUACAGAUUCGACCGAAUCUAAUAGCUUUUACUCAGAUUCAUCCAAUAUAUAAGAACAUUAAGUUUAAAAUCCAACUAUUAAUACUUAAAAUCCCCAUUCUAAAUUCAUACUACAACAACAUACCAGUGAAAUUCCACAAGUGCUGCUUGGGGAGAAUAUAGCGUACGCAGACCUUACCACUACCUCAUGGUAGUAGAGCAAUUCCAAGCACAAAGGAGAAGAAACAGUGACGAAAAUAUGGCAACUACCACAAGAAAUAGUGCAAAAUCAAGAAAAAAUAAACAAGAACAACUACAAAUAAUGCGAUAAUCGAAACACAAUAAACAACAGACUAUGAUAGAUAUCACAAACAAGGACUACGAUACUACGACUAGCACAACAACAAACACUUACAAAUCUAUUCCUCGAAAGCACGACAACACUCCCAUCCUACAAGUCUAACCCCUCGUUCUAAAAUUCAUAAAAUUAUAAUCGACUCAACUUUUAAUAUUAUGUAUUGGAACUACAAUGCUACGACUAGUACAACGACAAUUACUUACAAUUCCAACCCCGCCCUCAAAAGCACGACAACAUUUCUAUCCAACAAGUCUAACCCCUCGUUCUAAAAAUCAUAAAAUUAAAAUCUUGACUCAGCUUUUAAUAUUAUGAGGGACUACAAUGCUAUGACUAGCAGGGACGGAGUUAGUUAAUAGUAAGGGGGAAUCCCUUUCGGCAGAAAAUUAGACUAUUUAUACAAGCUUAAAAUUAUUUUUCAUGUAUAUAUAACAGACGUUGAACCCCUUCGACUAGUUCUUUUAUUCACAAUUUUUUUUAUUUUAAACCCUGUUAGUUAAGAUGUUGGCUCCGCCACUAAUGACUAGUGCAACGACAAAUACUUACAAAUCUAACCCCAUGAAAGCACGACAACACUCUUACCCUACAAGUAGGGACUAAGAUACUACGACUAGUACAAUGACAAACACUUACAAGUCUAACCCCUCGAAAGCACGACAACACUCUUACCCUACAAACAUGUACUACGAUACUACGACUAGUAAAACAACAAAUACUUACAAGUCUAAUCCCUCGAAAGCACGACAACACUCCUACCCUACAAGCAGGGAUUACGAUACUACAACUAGUACAACGACAAACACUUACAAGUGUAACCCCUCGAAAGCACGAUAACACUCCUACCCUACAAGCAGGGAUUACGAUACUACAACUAGUACAACGACAAACACUUACAAGUGUAACCCCUCGAAAGCACGAUAACACUCCUACCCUACAAGCAGGGACUACAAUUAGUACAACUAUAAAUACUUACAAGUCUAACCCUUCGAAAGCAUGACAACACUCCUACCCCACAAGCAGUGACUAUGAUACUACGACCAACACAACGACAAACACUUACAAGUCUAACCCCUUGAAAGCACGACAACACUCCUACCCUACAAGCAGGAACUACGAUACUCAGAGGCGGAGCUAGCCUCCUUUAGGGGGUUCGGCCGAACCCCCUUCGACGAAAAAAUAUACUAUUUAUACAUGAUUAAAAUUAUUUUUUAUGUGGUUAUAGUAGGUGUUGAACCCCCUUCGACUAAGUUUUCUUUGAAUAUUGAACCUCCUCAGUUGAAAUCCUGGCUCCGUCUCUGACGAUACUAUGACCAGCAUAACAACAAAUACUUACAAGUCUUAUCCUACAAAUAGGGACUACAAUACUACGACCAACACAAUGACAAACACUUACAAGUCUAAUCCCUAAAAAAACACGGCAACAGUCCUACCCCACAAGCAGGGGCUACGAUACUACGACUAGUACACUGAUAAAUACUUACAAGUCUAAUCCCUCAAACGCACGGCAACACUCCUACCCUACAAGCAGGAACUAUGACACUACGACUAGUACAACAACAAAUACUUACAAGUCUAAUUCCCCGAAAGCACGACAACACUCCCACCCUACAAGCAGGGACGAUGAUACUACGACUAGUACAACGACAACACUCCUACUCUACAAGCAGGGACUACGAUACUACGACUAGUACAACGACAAAUACCUACAAGUCUAAUCCCUCGAAAGCACGACAACCGUCCUACCCUACAAGCAGGGACUAUGAUAUUACGACUAGUACAACGACAACAGUCCUACCCUACAAGCAAGAACUACGAUACUACGACAAAUAUAACGACAAAUACUUACAAGUCUAAUCCCUCGAAAGCGCGACAACACUCCUACCCUACAAGUCUAACCCCUCGUUUUAAAAUUCAUAAAAUUAAAAUCCUGACUUCGCGUUUAAUAUAUCAUGUAUUGGGAAAAUAAGUAGUAUGGUCCACAGCUUGCAGACAUAGGUAAUAUAGUAGAGAUACCGACCUAACACUAUACUGCAAAAGAAGUCACGUAUACAUAUUGGUAUUUGUAUAGUUUCAUUUCAUUAAAAUACACAACUGCAAUUUCAGUCAUUAAUUUUAAUUAUUUAAAAAUUAAUUAAAUUGUCACAUUGGGUUGCGUACCAUCUAAAAUUUUGCCAUCUCAUACCAUGCAAAAAUUUUAAAAAAUAAAGUAAUAAUAAUGUUUAUAGUAUUUCCUUUUGAAAAUGUAUUAAAAGUUUUCAUGGUGUUUUGAGUAAACUUCUUAUAAUACCAUAACAAAGAGCAACAAAAGGUAUGAAAUUACUAGUCACUCAUGUUAUGAUGUUCUAAAUUUUGAAUUUUUUUCCUUUCGUUAUCUGACUUAUGUUUUUCAUGACAAAAUGAUUUUAUGAAAGUAGAAUUUUUAUUACUUAACUUUUAAUUUACGCGUAUAUUAUCCAUUUUGGACUUCAGUUUUUCACUUUCCUCUUCCAUUUCGGUGUGAAUUCAUGUAAGGUUUCACGUACAACUCGUCUUCAAAAGCUUGCUCAUCUAGAAGCCUCCCGUCCUCCACCGGUGAGAGUUAUAUAUUGAGCUUUUUUGCUAGUCGAGGUUUGAAAUUUAGGUUCUUUCGUGUAGAGACAGAUUCAUAAUUUAAAUUUGAAGUAUUUAACCUUUAAAAGUUCUUCAUGCUAAUUUACAUUGUACUUUAAAAUUAUCAUUUCAAAAUUCAAUAUUUACUGAAUUCUUAGUAAUAACUAAUAAUCACAUCUACAUUAAUAUUUCGUUUCAUUAAAUAAAAUUAGCAAUGUUUUUUUAUUGUUUAGCGAUAGAAAUUGUUCGUGGCUAAUUCUUUUUUUUUUUUUUUUUUUGUAGUAUAUUAAUAUUGGGGUCAACAAUGUAUGAAACAUCACAAUAUCACAAGAGGAUUUUCACACCAAAAAAUUGUUCUCAACAAAUUGAUUCAUCAUUUGGAAAUGUUUUAUUAUAUGGUGCUGGAUCUGAUAUUAUAAAAAAUGAGCUUGGUGCUUAUGGAGAAAAAAUAUUAGGUUCAAGUUCUUCCUAUGUUCAAAGCAAUGUAAGAAUUCUUUUUUUGUUAUAUGUAAUUAAAAUUAUAAUUUAUAACUUGUUUGGUCAAGCUUCUGAAAUCAGCUUUAUUUUAAAAGUAUAGUUAAAUAUGAUCUUUAUAUGAUAUGCUGUGGCGGACUCAAAAUUUUAGAGUCGUAGGUGUUCGGAAAGUUCAUACAUGUAUAUUGGCACCCAGAGCUUCAACGUUCCGCAUGAAAAUUAAAGCACCCAACUAGCUUUUUAGUUUCACGAAUGUUUUUUUUCUCAUCCUAUUCCAAUUUUUAUACAUUUUUUAUAUAAUUAUACUUAUUCUGCGCCGGAUUUAACGGAUGUUGGCGCACCAAUUUUUUCAACCUAGGUCCGCCCUUGAUGAUGUGGAUUGUCUAGAUAUGUUUGGUUGCUAUAGCAAAUUGUUGUUAUGGAGAAUGUAUAAUAUAAUAUAAUAUAGUAAUAUAAAAGUCGGUUAAAAAAAAAAAAGACUUCAUUGUUAUAAUGAAGUGUUGUUAUAAAAGAUGAUUGUUAUAUAAAGAAAUACUUUUAUUAGUAAUUUGUAUUUGAUGGAUAUUUUCAAAAAGUGUUUUUACAUGGCAAAUUAUGAAAAAAGAAAUUACUACUAAUUUUAAUUUUUAGCCUUUCAAAAAAUUGACUAAACAGACUAUAUAACACUUUUUCCAAUAGUAAAUUUUAGAAUGUGGAUGUUGUUUAUUUAAUUUUGGAGGAAAUUAUUGGCUGAAUUUUUUUAUUUUAAUUUUUUUACUAAUAGAUUGGCAGAUACAUUUCCAAUCCAGAAUACUAUUUUCAAGUGAAUGAAGAUUAUGUGAAGAAUAAAUUGAAGGUGAUUUUGUUUCCAUUUCUUCACAAGGUAAAUUCAACAAUAUUUUACAUAUUAGUUCAUUUUUUGAGUGUUUAAAUUUAUAUAUAUUUGGAGUGUAAAAGAUAUUUACACAAUUAGUCCAUAUAUAUAUCUUGUAUAUAUGUAGGAAAAAUAACAUUAAUAUACACCUUAGUCAUAUUUACACAAAUUUUCAUCCUUAUAAAGUAAUUAUAAAAAUCCUAACUAAUUUUUAUUUUCGUUGGAUAUAUCGAGAACUAAUUAUGUAUCUCGACAGAUUCAAAGUCAAAAAAAUUAAAUCGAAAACUAAUUAUGUAUCUUUAUAAAAGGAAAAAAUAUAUUUUCGUUGGAUGUAUUAUGUGUCUUGACCGACUCAAAAUCAAAAAAAAAUAUAUCAGGAGCUAAUUAUAUAUCUUGACUGACCCAAAAUUGAAAUUUUUAGUAAUUAUGCAAAAUAUCAAUUUUUUUUGUAACCAAACUUCAAACUGUCAGAAUUUGUGUUGUUUGUGCUAUGUAUGUAACUAUAGACUGUGAUGUCAAUUACCACUAUACUAUUAAUUAACCUGAGGUGUUUGUAGAAAUCCAUAAACAUCAAAUCUUAAAUCUGUCUUUGUAUAAGUAACAAUAAAAAAUCUUAAUAUAUAAUUAAAUUUUUCUAAUAAAUAUGUUUUAGGGACAUUGGAUGAGAGCUGCAGAUAUUUCUGGAGGAGAAUUUUCAUUUAAACCUCCAAUUCAUGAUAUAAAUGCACCUGAUUUAUAUAUCCCUAUGAUGGCUUUUGGUACUUAUUUGGUUCUUGCUGGCUACUUCUUGGGCAUUACCACCAAGUAAGUUUUUUAAAAAAUGUUUAUAUUAUCAGUAUAUUUUAAUUUGAAACAAUACAUUGUUUCUAUCCUGAACUAUGAACGAAAUUACUGAGACACACUCCGGGAGUAAUAGGACCCCCUUUAAGUUCGGGUGUGUCUCAUCAAUUUCAUUUAUAAUUCACGAUGGAAACAGUGCAUUUACUAUUUUAAUUUAUUGGUCCCGCUUGUGGUGUCAAAUCAUUACGCUAUAAGAAGAAAGAUUCGAAUAUCAAUCUCAUCGAGAUCAUGAUCUCAUAUCAAAUUUCAAGAGCAGACCAAUAUAUAGCCAAUGUUUUAGUGCUCCGAUAUCGGUUAAAUUCGAUAUAGAUUAGGUAUAAUUAUAUAAAAAAUGUAUAAAAUUUGGUAUAACAUUUAGAAAUUACUUUUAGAUGUUGAAAUUGAUUUUUAUAAAUUAUAAGCACUUCCAACAUUUACCAAAUGUGUAAAUUACUCAAAAUAAUAUUUAUAAGAUAAUUCGACCAGUUUAUAACUAAGUUUAGUUAAACGCCCUUCUAAGUGACCUUAUAGCACAAAUGUUCUUUUAUAUUAUUAAUAAUUUGACCAGCUUAUAACUAAGUUUAGGUAAACGGUCCUGUAAGUGACCUUAUAGCAUAAAAGUUAUUUUAUAUUAUCAGUAAUUUAACCAGCUUAAUUAUAACUAAGUUUAGGUAUACGGCCCUCUAAGUGACCUUAUAGCAUAAAAGUUCUUUUAUAUUAUCAGUAAUUUGACCAGCUUAAUUAUAAUUAAGUUUAGCUAAACGCCCCUCUAAGUGACCUUAUAGCAUAAAAGUUCUUUUAUAUUAUCAUUAAUUUGACCGGCUUAAUUAUAACUAAGUUUAGCUAAACGCCCCUCUAAGUGACCUUAUAGCACAAAUGUUCUUUUAUAUUAUUAAUAAUUUGACCAGCUUAUAACUAAGUUUAGGUAAACGCUCCUCUAAGUGACCUUAUAGCAUAAAAGUUCUUUUAUAUUAUCAGUAAUUUGACCAGCUUAUACCUAAGUGUAGGUAAACGCCCCCUUAAGUGACCUUAUAGCAUAAAAGUUCUUUUAUAUUAUCAGUAUUUUGACCCAACUUAUAACUAAGUUUAGCUAAACGCCCCUCUAAGUGACCUUAAAGCAUAAAAGAUCUUUUAUAUUAUCAGUAAUUUGACCAGUGGCGGAGUCAGAAUUUUCAUUGAGGGGUUCAGAAGUAAAUAAACGGACUAGUCGAAGGAGGUUCAACAUCUACUAUAUAUACGUAAAAAUAUUUUUGACCAUGUAAUGACUCCGCCACUGAAUUUGACCAACCUAUAACCAAGUUUAGCUAUACGCCCCUCUAAGUGACCUUAUAGCGUAAAAGUUCGUUUACAUUAUCAGUGCAUAAAAACUCGAUGUAUUAUUCAUUGUAGGUUUAGUCCAGAAGCACUAGGUGUGCAAUUCACAACAGGUUUGCUAUGCUGGCUUCUGCAAGUCCUCUUACUUGAAGCAACAUUACACUCAUUAGGAAGUGGAGAAGUGCCACUUCUUGAUAUUGUUGCUUAUGGUGGCUACAUUUUUGUGAAUGCAUCAAUCAUUUUGAUAUGUAGGAUCAUUUGGGAUUAUGUAUUUUGUUUAGUUACAUUUUUUGAAUGUUUUUGUAUGGGGGUUUUCUUGAUAAAGACCAUGAAGAGGAUCCUAAUUGGUGAAGUUAGAAGCUUUGAGAAGCAUUCAACAAAGAGGAAUUACCUUUUGAUCUUGAUGGCUUUGUCACAAAUUCCUUUGCUUUUUUGGUUGGGAAAUGUUGGUGUUGGAGCUAAGUGAGUUAGAAAGUACUUUUCAAUAAUACAAUUCAAUUGAUCAAUGAUGAAUUUUGAUGUGUUUUAUUUUUAGUUUCUCAUUUCACCUGGUAUAUGUAUUAAGGCUCGAUUAACCUUGAAUUUACACUGAGAACUUUCACAUUGGACAGUAAAGUGUAGACACGUAAUUUUGUUCUUUUUCGAAAAUAUUUUAAUCAUUUUUAUUUUAUUUUAAUUUUAUUUACCUUACCAUACUUUUGUUUAAUUGAUAAUUCCCCCCCCCCCCCCCUCCUCCAAAAAAAAAGAAAGAAUUGAAAAUAAUUAAAUACAUAGCAUCUUUGCCACCUCACUAUGCCACCCCAACAUCUCACUUUUCAUUUUUCAUUGGAUACAUGCAAAAGGCACACACCUUACUCAUUUUUUCACACGUCACCCUCAUCUUUCCACAUGCCACACUAACUUUUCCACAUGCCACACACUUAUUCCCACAAGCCACCAAUUAUAUGCUUCCACAUAGGAUAAUAAAUAAAGAAAAAGAAAAACCAAAUAAAAAAAAUAAAAGGAAAAUUCUAAAAGGAGAAAAGGGGGCGCUCAUUCUUUCAUCAUCAUCUUCUCCACAAUAACAACAAUCACCAAAUCAUCUUCCUGACAAGAAAAAAAAAACGAGGGAGAGAGAGAAAGAGAGAAUCGCGCGAAAAAAAAUCGAGAGAGAAAAAGAGUCUGGAGAAUGGGAAUCCGGCAUAAAUAGUGCCAGUGAAUAGUAAUAGCGUGAACAGUAACGAAAUGAACAGUAACUCGUGAACAGUGUCGGUGAAAAGUGACGAAGAACGCGUCAUUAUUUCUCAGUGUUGAGUUGGAUUGUUGGUGUUAAAGUUCGGCUUGAGGUUUUCUGGUGCGGACUCUCUUUAUUCGAAUAUCAUUGAGUUUGAAAGGUUCAAAUUGAGGUUCAAUUCUACUCUCUUUCUCUUUUUAAUUCAUUGUUUAUUAUAUUUGGUGUUAUUUUGACUCGUGGUUGGUUUGCUUGAUUAUGGUUGUUGAAAUGGUAUCUUGUUUGAGAAUUGAAAUUGGUUGUUUGGUGAUGGAAUUGAGAAAUUGAUAAAAAGUUGAAUUUAGAUUAACUUUGGUUUAUUGUUGUUUUGUUUAAUUCGUAAUGAGCAUGAAUAUUGUUGGAAUGUGAUAGGAUUAUGAUAUGUUGAAAUGGAUAGGCAAAUGUCGCUUUGGGUAGGCAAAACUUAGGAGUGAUGUGUUUAUUGAAUGUUUUGAAUGUUUAAUGUGCGUGUGAAUGUUUGGUUUCUAAUUCAUCGUGUUUAAUUCAAAUGUAUUUAUUUAGCCGGGGAAUGCCCCGAGACACAAUGUAUUUAUUCACCGGGGAAUGCCCCGACUUACUAUGUUGGCGGAAGACGUUCGCGAGGAAGGCCCGAGGCAUCGGGUAAAGCACGGGAUCGUAGUUAGUAUUAGUGUAGGUUAGAUAGGAUUUAUUUUUGCAUUUUUCUAUUUUGGAUUGUAUAAAUUAGACUGGACACUGUACUUUUGAUUAGUUUUUUUUGUUUGUUUGUUUGAUUGUUUUACGUGUUUUGUGUGGUUUGUACAUUCGUAGUGUUAAAAUUAGCUGAUCUGCUCCACCAAGCGACUGUGGUCGAACCACGGGAUCUAGGAGUGCCUAACACCUUCCCCUCGGUCAACAGAAUUCCUUAGCCGGAAUCUCUAUUCACAAACCAGUUUAAAGAGUCAAAUGGUUUUGAAAAGAAUUUUCCAAUGACUUGGCACACCAGAUUAUGCCAAGUGGCGACUCUGAGUUUUGAAUGUAAAAGGUCCUUUUCGAAACAAAUUAUCUUUAUUUUGUCACUUUAAUAAUAAAAACCCUUUCGAACCUUAAAAUGAAAUCUUUUCGGAGUUAAAAAAAAGGGGCAUUCCCUAAUAAAUGCAACUAUGUACUCCGAUUAAAUAAAGAUUUGUAUUUGAAAGUCCCACAUUAGGGGUAUGACGUUCCCUAAGAAAGGCAACUGCAAACACCGAUUAAAUUUUUAUUCAUGUUGUGUCUGCGGGGUGGGGGUGGGGUGGGGAGGGUAAAAUACUUCGUGCCAAUGUUAUUUUGAGUUCAUAUGUAGUAUUCAGGGUUUGCUUAGAUUUGGUACUGCUCUGCGGUCAGCAUCGAAACCGUGUUUUACCCCUACAUGUCCAAUCAACUGAUGUGCCUUAACACAUUUUAGGGAGAACCAGUAGGUCUUGGUACGAGUGGUAUUUCACCCCUUAACUACAACUCACCCGCUGAUUCUUCGAUAUCAGUUGAUUGAACCUUCACUUAGUUUCACUCAAAUUUCAUCGACAGGUGCCCUGUGAAAAAUCACUUUUACCGCGACUCAUCCAUUUUUGAUAUUCGCAUUUGGGCUCGAAUAACUCUUGUUUCCCGUUGGAAACUUUCACGUUAGUGGGUAAAACGCUCCCUAACAAAUGCAAUCACAUACCUCGACUAAUUAAUUUGGAUUUUUCUACCGUUCAUCCAUAUUUGGUACACACAUUUGGGCUUGACAAACUCUUGCUUCCGACUGGAAACUUUCACAUCAGAGAGUAAAAUGCUCCUUAACAAAGGCACCCGAAUCCGAAAUUUCUGGUUACAAAUGAAAGAAUACUUACAGUUCCAGUGCAACCUUUAUUGAUGAAUUUUGAUGUGGUUAAAUUAACCUGGUCACCUUUGUCACUAAACUUUUAAUUAUGUAUCAACAAAGUCAUAAAACUAAUAUUUAUUUCACUUAAGUCAUUAAAUUUUAUAUGUUGUAUCAAUUAAAUGACAAAAUUAUUUUUUCUAAUUUAAAAAGAAGAAUGAGAAAGUUCUAAAACUAUAAAUUGAAAGUAAAAUUGAGGUACACUGAGAAACAUAAUAAAAAUGCACUUAUCCUAAUAUUUACUCAAUUCCCUUACAAGAUUGUAAAGGGUUUGAAAAAUGAUUAGUCAAAUAAUAUACUCAAAUAAUUUAUGAUUAAGAUAAUCUUAAGUUUACCUAAUCUCUUCCCAAAUUAGAAUUGGCAAAAUGUCAUUAUAUUUUACUUAUCCUCAUAUUUUACUCAAUUAUCUUAAAAGAUUGUAAAGGUUUUGAAAAAUGAUUAGUCAAAUAAUAUAUUCAAAUAAUUUCUUAUUAAGAUAAUCUUAAAUUUACCUAAUCUAUUCCAAAAUUAGAAUUGGCAAAAUGUCAUUAUAUUUUAAGUACUAAAAUGAUCUUUAAUAUAAUCCAAAAGGGAAAAUUAAUAUUUGAUGAUAAGAAUUUCAUUUGACCAAAAAAAUGUCAUUAUAUUUUACUUGUCCUAAUAUUUACUCAAUUAUCUUACAAGAUUAUAAGGGUUUUGAAAAUGAUUAGUCAAAUAAUAUAUUCAAAUAAUUUAUUAUUAAGAUAAUCUUAAAUUUACCAAAUCUAUUCCAAAAUUAGAAUUGGCAAAAUGUCAUUAUAUUUUAAGUAAUAAAAUGAUAUUUAAUAUAAUCCAGAAGGGAAAAUUAAUAUUUAAUAAGAAUUUCACUUGACCAAAAAAAUGAUCUUAUCCCCCAAAAAAAAUGAUUUCAAUAUUCAACCCCUCUAUAAAUAUCAAUGAAAAAUGUGUUUUAUUCAACCACUUCAAAAUAAUUUUCACAUGAAAAAAAUCAAAAUUUCUUGAGAAAAUGAUGGCCAUCACUAAGCACUUUAUUUUCUUCACUCUACUUGCUUUUGUUAUCUUUCCUGCUUAUCAAUGUAAGUAUAAUUAAGAAAAUUCAUAUUUCUUUUUUUUAUGCAUAUAAUAGUUGUUGAAUAUUUUGUCUUUUUUAUUUUUUUUAUUUCUUUAUAUUUUGAAUUUUCUCGAUGAAAAUUCUGAUUCUGUCAUGAUAACCCAGGGGCGAAUCUAUUAAGCCUCGUGAGGGUGCCACGCCACCCACAAACUUCGACAAAAACUCUAUAUAUAUAUAAGCAGGGGUGGAUCUAUUAAGCCUCGUGAGGGUGCCACGCCACCCGCAAACUUCGAUAAGAACUCUCUCUCUCUAUAUAUAUAUAUAUAUAUAAGUACAAAUAUACAGAAUGUAUAGAAAUAAAACAGAUGCCACCUAAUGAAAUAAAGAGGUACUUGGUACAUGGUCAUCUAGUCCACCCAAGGGAUGUGGGUUCAAACCUUGUUGUUGUCUUAAAUUUAGCAUAAAUUCAAUUAUUCUCUUUUUAUUUGUUUUAAAAAACAAUUUGUUAAGUUUGCUACAUAAAUUUAAUUAUGCUCUUUUCAUUCGUUUUUAAAGCCAACUUGUUAAGUUUGCUAUAUAAAUUUAAUUAUGUUCUUUUCAUUUGCUUUUAGUUAUUUUGUUUUUGACUUGUAUUAAUUUAUUUAUUUUUGAAUAAUUUAAUUUAUUAGUUAUUUCUCAUUAAUUAAUUAGUAUUUGUUUGAUAUAAAAUUUAAAAGAUGAAUAAGUUUUGUUUUCUCUCCCAUCAAAUUAAAAAAAAAAUUGUCCAGAUAUUGAUAAACAUAAAAAUAAUUAUACACAAAAUUGAGGUCAAAUAUUGUGAAAAGUCACAAUUUUUUGCCUCUUAAAGAAAGAUAAAUAAGUAAGAAGUUGAUGCAGCCAAAAAAAAAUUCUAAGGAGGUUAAAAAUCUAAAGAAGUAAACACACGAACUAAUCUAAGAAGUUCAGUAUCUAUUAUAUAUACAUAAAAGUAAAUUUAAUCAUAUAUAAAUAAUAUAGUUUUUGGUCGAAGAGGGGCCUUGACCAUAAACUGGUUCUCAUUCAAAAUUUAAAGUCUUCGGUUGAUUUAAUCGAUGAGUCUACUUGGCACCCAAAGACUUAGAAUCCUGAAUCUGCCUCUGCUAUAACCUAAUUAGAGUUUAAUUUGAACCUAAAAUUUCUGAUUGAGAUCAGUGGAGGAAUCAUGUCCAUCUCAUCAUAAUACUUAGUAAUAAAUAAAAUUAAAUUAACUCCUAUUUAUUUAUGUAUGUUGGCUUGUUUAUUUUUCAUAAUUAAUCAUUUAUACAUACAUACAUAUAUAUAUAUAUAUAUAUAUUGGUUUUCAUUUCUAUCUUUUAUUUUAAUGCAGGUGAAAAAUUGAGCAACAAAUAUGGGAGAAAAGAUAGGAUACUUAUUGACCUUGGAAAGUGUUUUCAAUACACAAUAAACAAAUGGUGUUGUGAUUCAACUCUAACACCUUUAUUGUGUUAUGAUUCAAUGGAUAAAUGCAAAAAGAAUUGUCCUCAUUGGCCACCAGCUCUUAAUUAAUUAAUUAGUAAUUAAUUAACAAAUUCUCUGAUAAGAGUUUUGUUAAAUAUUUUAUGAAGUUUUCAUGUAUGAAAGUUCCAUAAUAUAAUAUAAAUAUUUCAUUUUACAAAUGUUAUGUUAUAUUUCAUCUUUUUUUUUUGUUCAUUAAUAGAGAGAGCUAUGUUCUUACUAAAUUCCUACAAAAUAUUACUUAUUGAGAGGGAAUUUUUUCAAAUGGCGUUACAGAGAAGUAAAGUAUAACAUGAAAAAUUAGUUUUGGUGAAAAUCAGGUCACUAUAAUGAAAUGUUGUUAUAAUGAGGUUAUAGAGAGGUAUGACUGGAUUAUACUUUUCGAAUCUCAAUUGUAAUUGGUAAUUGAAUAACAUGUAAUAGCGAAUAAAUACUAAUGGAUAAAUCUUAAAAUUAAAUGAGAAAAGGUAACUAGAAGAAGAUGAGAUACUACAAUAUAAAAAAAAGAUCGGAAAUGAGACGAUAACAAAAUAUCCCAAACAUUCCAUUUAUCUUAGUAUUUUGGCCAAUUGUGUUAAUAGCCAGGGGCGACCCUAGGUUGAAAAUUCUGGUGCUUCGCACCCGUUAAACCCGAUAUAGAAUAUGUAUUAAUUAUACAAGAAAUUAAAUAUAUAAAAAAAUGGUAAAAGAUGGAAAAAAGCACCCGUAAAAUAGUUGGGUGCUUUAUUUUUAUUUGAAAUCUUAAAGUUUUGGGUGUCAAUAUAUGUAUUUAAACCUCUCAAACACCCACGACUUCCAAAUCUUGAGUCUGCCACUGUUCAUAGCAUGUUCAAAGAAAUCUUAUAGGAUCCUGAAAGAUUGCAUAAUAAGUUGUGGUAUAAUUAUAAUUCAAGUGUAAUCUCUUUUUUGUUUUUGAUUUUCAUCCGGUAUCCGAUACCUGCAUUAGAGUCUGACUAAUUCGGAUUCAUAAUUGUUUUUCAAUCAUCCAUUUUUAAAUACAAUCAAUAUUGUAAUUUAUUAAUUUUUUAUAGAGAAAAUACCAAUUACCCCCUCCCCUGAACUAUACCCAAAAAGGUUAUGACACACCUCAACUUAAAGGGGGUGCUAUUACCCCUGAACUAAUUAAAAUUGUAUUUUUGACACCCUUAGUGUCUAUGUGGCACACACGUGUGCCUACGUGGACACUUCAGUGUGUUGUGUCAUGUAUGUGCCACGUAGGCACUAAGGGUGUCAAAAUUAUAAUUUUAAAUAGUUCAGAAGGUAAUAGGACCCCUGUAAGUUGAGGUGUGUCAUAAUCUUUUUGGGUAUAAUAACCAAACGAUUACUUCGGACCGGCCUUCAGAUGACAACUAGUCGGCUUGUCGUAAAUUAUCGAAUAAAGUAAAUCAGGUUGAAUUUGGAUUGACAUUGAGAAGUCCGAUAUUAACUUACGAAUGAAAGAAAUAUUUACCGAUCCGCUACAAUUCUUGGUGAUGAAUUUUAAUUGUGUAUCAACAGAAUUAUAAAACUAAUUUUUAUUUCUUUAAAGUCAUUGAAAUUUAUAUGUUGUAUCAAUUAAAUCACAAAAAAAAAUUCUGACUCAAGUUUACAAGUAGCACCAUUAAACUCCUAUGGGAAUCUUUUAUUAUCGAAAUGAAAUAUUCUCUAAUCUUAAUUAACCAAGUAGUUAAUUGAUUUUCAAUCAUCAACUUUUAAAUAUUAAUCUCCUAAUGUACUCUUAAUUAUUAGUUUUAAAUUAAAGUACAAAAUCUGUAAUCAAUUAUUUAUGGCAUCUCCUAAUUUUUAAUGAAUAAAUGACAGUAUAUUUUCGUGCAUGCAUAUCUCAUAAAAGCAUACGUAACUGAUUUUUAAUCAACCAUUUUUAAAUACAAUUAAAUGGCGUUAUUUUUUACGAAGCUUUGUAAUAUAUUUUGUUGUGAAAAUAUGAGUCAAUAUUAAUUAAAAAUCUGAAAUAUUUUUAUUUAUUGUAAAAUUAUCAAAUGACUAGUUUUCAAGAUUUUAUUAUGCUUAACCACGAUGCAUAGUACUUAUCUUUUAGUAUAGGAUAUGAAUAACUGGAUAUAGAUAUGAAACUAAUUGAAAUUAAAAUUAAGAUAUAUGGAAAGAAACAUGAAAAAAAAUUGUACGAAAUGUUGUUGUCGUUGUCACAUGUCAGUUAGUCAUCUCUGUCUCGCUGUACUCGUACUUUACAUGAUUAUAAAAUAUUUGAAAAAUGAUUAGUCAAAAUAUAUUAUAUUAAGAUGAGGUUAAAUUGAGAAAGGUGAUGUCAAAUAUUGGUUGCUUUGUAUUGCUUUACAUGUGAUUAAUGAAAAUAAGCUAGUCACCUAAAAAAAUAAUUAUAAAUUAAGAAACUUAAUUAAUAAUUAGUAAAUUUCCAACUAAAAAUUAUUUAUUUGAACCAAAAGGAAUUAUAGACUUAAAAAUUGAACUUAAGUCUUUCAUAUCUAGGCAUUUUAUAUAGAUAUAGAAAUAAAAUGAUAUACAUAUUAUUAUAUUUUUAAUCAUUAAUUAAAAAAUAAAAAGAAAGAUGAAACCAAUGCAUAAUUGUCCAAACUCUUGCCGAUAUCCACUUCCACAAGUCUUUCUCCAUUUAAGAGCAUCUUCUUCUUUUUUAAGUGAAAUAAUAACAUAAAUAUCAUAAUGAAAAUGAAUGAUAACCUUGGAUAAAAUCGCAUGAAAUAAAACAUAUGAACGUCUAUAGAAAGAAAAAUGAAAUGAAUACAUAAAUGUCUCGAUAUCUACUUCCACAAGCCUAUCACCCUUCAACAGUCUUCUUCUUCUUUUCAAGACAAACAAAAACAUGAAUAUAAUAGUGAAAAUGAAGAGUAACCUUGAAUAGCAUCUCAUGAAACAAAAAAUAUAAAUUUAUAUACAUAAAAAUAAAGGAAUACCAUAAGGUAUCAUUAACUUUUGCAUUAAAUAUUUAGGGGUUAUAAAUAUAAAAUCAUGAAUAGCUUGAGAGAUACAAAUAUAAUUAGUAGAAAUUAAAUAGAUGAGUUACCUCAAACAUUUUUUUUCUUUUAUUACAUAAUAAAUAGAGUUUACAUGUGCUGACUUUUGAUUUUUCUUUAAACACACAAAUAUUUAAAAUAAGAAGAAAACUUAAUAAAUAUCCAGAAAAACCUCAAAAAAAGAUAAAUAAAUUUGGUGACUUCUAAGACACGUCACAUAUGAUUGAGUUUUGAUCUCUUUUAUAUAUAGAGAGAGAUUAGUAGUUAAUUAACAAAUCCUCUUCUAGGAGUUUAGUUAAAUAUUUUAUGAAGCUUCUAUAAAAUCAUUACAAUAUUUAAUUCCAUAAUACAAGAUGAGUAUUUCAUUUUACCAAUGUUGAUUACAAUGUGCCCAAUAGUAUUCCCUUCCCAUGUUUACUUUUAUUUGUCAUAUUUUAUUUUAUAAAAGUUAAUUUGAUUAAACUUUAAAAUUAAAUUAAAGUAGAUUAAUUUAUUAUUCUGCAUUUUAAGUACCUCACUUUAUUAAGUUCAAACGCUACAUUAAACAGGAUAUUUGUUUAUAUAAUAAAGAUGAAUACAAUAAUUAAAUUCAACAUCUUUUGGAGAAUUAAUUUAAUUAAACAUAACAUUUACCAAAAAAAUUCUCAAAGUCGAUCGACAUUCAUCUUCCACAUGUAAACAGUAACAAAACAAUACGAUGAUAGAGACAUUAAAACAAUAUAAUUAAAUCUAACCUUUACACAAAAAUUUCCUCAAAGUCGUCUGACACUCGUCUACCACCUGUAAACUAUAACAAAAUAGUACGACAAUAGAGAUAUCAAAAUAAUAAAACAAAACUUUACUUUUACACAAAAAAAUCCUCAAAAGAGAGAUAUAAAAAAAUACGAUUAAACCUAACAUUUUCCUAAAAAAAUUCCUCAAAGCUGACCAACAUUCAUCUACCGUCUGUAAACUACAACAAAAUAAUACAAUAAUGAUCAUAAAACUUUAGUUUUGAUGAAAAUAAUUCUUGUCUGGGCGAAAAUUUUGACACUAAAGAAUGACUUGAAUGAAAAUAAAGAAGAUAUAUAUAUACACACACACGCAUUGAAUUCUAUUAUGUUGAUAAAAAGGUGAAGAAGUUGAAAAUUAGAAAAUUAAGCAUCCACCAAUCUAGACAUACAACCGAAUCAAGUUAGAUGAACUUUAAUCAUAUUUUCUCAAUAAGUAAAUUAGUUUCUUCUUCAGUUUAAUGUGUAUCUUAGUAUUUAUAGAAGUAUUUUCUUAAUAGAGUCCUAUUUUAGGAGUAUUUUUCUAAUUGAUAUGUAUAAAGAAAAAUAUUAAUUGAUUCUCCUUCCACAUAUUUUAGGAGUCUCAUAUAUUUUUGGAGUCUAGUUUAUAUAAUAAAAAUAAUUAACUAAUAAAUUAAAGAAAAAUAAUGAAAAGACAAUUUUAUCUAAGGAAGAGUCUUUUAAUAAAUGACAAAAAAUUCAAAUGACUGUUAGUAUUGUUUCUCAAUAUAAAUACAAAAGUUCUCAUCUUCCUAUCCAAUGCGUAUACUCCCUCCACUCCUUUUUAAGUGCAUGCUUCAUUUUUUAUGAGUCAAUUUGACUAAUUUUUAAAGCUAAAUUAAAUUAGAUUAAUUCAAUUUUUAAAAUUUAAAAUUUAGAUAUUCAAGUACUAUAUAUUAAAAGUAUUAUAAAUUACAAAUUUUCUUUUUCCAAUUUAAUUAAAAAAUAAUAUUGUUCAAAAUUUGAAUCGUAAAAAGGAAAAUCAUGCACUUAUUUAGGAACGGAGAGAGUAUUAACUUCUUAGCAAUAGAGAGCUAUUUUCAGGUACACCCAUGAAAGAAAUUAUUUGUAAGCAUUAAAUUUCUACAAUCAUUUCUGGUGUAAUAAUAGUAAUUUCUUUUUUAACCGAAAGAAAUACUAAUUUCUUUUGUAGAAAUAUUUUGUUUCUCUCUAAAAAAAUCAUUUUCCAAAUGUAUAUAGAUUCUUACAUAUAACUUUAUUUAUACCAAAAGAUUGCAUAAUAAAGUUGUGGUAUAAUUAUAACUACAGUACAAUCGUAAUUGAUUUUCAAUUAUCAACUUUUAAAUACAUUCAAGAUUGUCUUUUAUUAAUCUCCUAAUGUACUCGUAAUUAUUAGUUUUAAAUUAAAGUACAAAAUCUGUAAUCAAUUAUUUAUGGCAUUUCCUAAUUUUUAAUGAAUAAAUGACAGUAUAUUUUCGUGCAUGCAUAUAUCUCAUAAAAGCAUACGUAACUGAUUUUCAAUCAACCAUUUUUAAAUACAAUUAAAUGGCCUUAUUUUACGUAAUAUAUUUUGUUGUGAAAAUAUGAGUCAAUAUUAGUUAAAAAUCUGAAAUAUUUCUAUUUGUUGUAAAAUUAUCAAACGAUUAAUUUUCAAAAUUUUAUUAUGAUUAACCACAAUGCAUAGUACUUACCUUUUUAAUAUAAUAUGUAUAUAGAUAUAAAUAAAUUGAAAUUAAAAUUAAUAUAUAUUCAAAGAAACAUGAAAGAAAUGCACUUAUCCUAAUAUUUACCCAAUUUGUCGUUGACUCCACUUGUUAUUUCCUUCUAUGACAUGUUGUUGUUAUUGCUAUAUUAUAUGUCAAUUCAUCAUUUCUGUCUCACUACCGUCUUACUUUAUACGAUUAUAAAAUAUGUAAGAAAUGAUUAGUCAAAAUAUAUCUUAUUGAGAUGAGGUUAAGUUGAGAAAGAUGAUAUCAUCAUUCAGUGAAUUUAUCAAAUAUUGACUUAUUAAGUUGGGAUCUGAAAUAUCUAAAAUAUCAUUAUGUUUUAAAGUGAUCAAUUAAUAAAUCAUUUGAUAAGAAUUUCACUUUAAGAAAAAGAAAAAAGAAAUUAUCCAAAAGGGAAAAAUAAUUUAAAUUUUCAACACUAUAAAUAUCUAUGAAAAAUGUGUUUUAUUCAAUCCCUCCAAAAUAAUUUUCACAAAAAAACUCAAGAACAUUUGAGAAAAAUGAUGGCUAUGAUCACUAAGCAUUUGAUUUUCUUCACUUUACUUCUUUUUGUCAUCUUGCCUCCUCAUGAAUGUAAGUAUAAUUUAAAAAAAAAAAAUUAUUCUUCAUUAUACUUUCAAGAAUAAUUAAAAUAUUUUUUAUAUAUACAUAUAUAUUAGAUGUUAAAUUUUUUUUAACUUCUUUAUUAUUUUACUUAUUUAUAUUUUAAACUUUUUUUUAAUGAAAAUUCGGACGUCAUCAAUAAUAUUUAAGGUUCGAACCCAAAAUUUCUGACGAAGAUUAAUCGAGGGACCUUUCACCAAAAUCCUUGGUAGUAAAUAAAUGAAAUUUACUUUUGAGUUAAUUAUGCUUUUUUUUUUUUNNNNNNNNNNNNNNNNNNNNNNNNNNNNNNNNNNNNNNNNNNNNNNNNNNNNNNNNNNNNNNNNNNNNNNNNNNNNNNNAUCUGUCAUGUUAGCAACCAUUUAUGUAUGUAAACAUUAAACUUGUUUUCAUUUUUAUGAUAUAUUAUAAUGCAGGUAAAGAAUUAACUGAUAAUCGUGAGAUAGUUGGAUUCUUAUCUACCGUUGGUGUUAAAAGACUCAAAAAUAGGAAACUUAUUUAUAUUGGGAAAUGUGUCCAAUAUUGUUCAUCAUGGUGCUGUGAACCUUUUGCACAAGUGUGUUAUGGUUCAGAAGAGAAAUGCUCAGAACAUUGUUCCAUUUGGCCUCCUAGCUCUUAAUUAAUAAUUGUAUAUACAACUGUGCAAGUAUGGGUUCAAUAUAUAUUACGUUUUAUCUCAAUUUAUGUGAUAUAAAUAAAUUUUAAAAAUUAUCAAAUUGUUGUAUGAUUUUUAAAUGUUUCUAAUUGAUUAUUGUGAUGUGUAAUAUAUUUGAUCUGUUGAAAUAAAAUUAGGUUUAAUAUAGCUAUUUACCGAGCUAUAUUGUUAUUUGUUAACUGUUUAGUUUGCUCAUCAAGACCUCUAUUUGAUUUGAAUGGUAUUAUGUCAAAAGUUAUUUAGUUUCGAAGAUUAUUAGGAUUUUUUUUUUUUGAAUUUCAGACUUGAUCAACAAGUAGUAACAUCACAUAAUAUUAUAUUGUCAAUAUAUAUAUUGUUAACAUUUUAAAAUUUAAAUUAAGAUUAUAACUAUAAUAUAUUUUAAAAAGUGAGCUGGCAUGUCGAGGCCAGGAACCAACAGAGAAAUGGAUUGGGCCUAUUUUGUUUUUUUGCAUGUCAUCUUGAUGCAGCCUGAUCAGGUCCGUCAUGUUUCAAAACUCGUGUGGGCUGGGCCAGCUCGUAUUAACAACUGUCAUGACCCAAAUGGCCAUGAGUAGCACCCACACUAACUUUUCUGUGGGAGAACCAUCUACACCCAACUAUUAUCCAAUCAAUUAGUCAAUAUUAAGACGGUAUCAUCAUAAAACCACCUUAGAACAAUAAUUCAAAGCUAAUCAUUAGUAAUGUGAAAGUCAAACAAACUACUUACUAAAAUUCUCAAGACCCGAAAGUUAUCGUACAAGAACAGAGAUCACAUCUAAAGAGAUAUCCAAAAAUAAAGUAAAUAAAGAAUAUUUCAUCGUCCGAAAGAUGGGCAAGAACAAAUAAGAUGACCCAUGAAAGCAUGAGACGGAGUGCUCACUCUUGGAUCAAGAUCUGCUAUCAAACUCUACAGUUGUGGGCGUGUCUGGGCCUCUGGAACAUUUUCCGCACCCAACAAAAGAAAAGUACAGGAUAGUAUCAGUACAAACUACUAUGUACUGGUAGGUAUCAUAGGCCAACUCAAUUUAAUAGUAUGUACACAACAUAAAUCAAAUAACAAGUAGACAACAAAAAAUCAAUGAAUCAACAGUACAAUAAUAACAGGUUAAACAGAGCUCAUAACCAAGCCACAUAACCAUCAAGAGUACAACCAUACUAUAAACAUCCACAGAACCAACACAAAUUUGUACACACAUGCUAUGAGACUUAUUUUUGCCCAAAUAGUCAUGGCCUAUAGGGAACAAUCUAUGUUCAUGUACUAGACCGGCAUGGUACCCGAUCCUCAAUAACAAGUAAUAUCAAUAUCCCGUACCGGCGUGGUUCCCGAUCUACCAUAACAAGUAAUAUCAAUAUCAUAUCUGUACUGACGUGGUACCCGAUCCAUCAUAAACAAGUAAUAUCAAUAUCAAAUUUACACUACCUCAUAGCACACAAUACGAUGUACCAAGUUUACAAGUACAUUUAAAGUCAUAAGAUAAUUCCAUCAAGUAAAUUUUCAAUAAUUAUUUAUACACGCCUAAACAAUCCAAACAUCAUCAAUUUCAAGCAUGUCAGGAUAACAAUCAAUAAGUAUCCGAUUUAGGAGCAUACACACAAUUAAGUCGAGUCUAAACUCCAAUUAAAUCAUGGCCUACCUCAAUCAAAAAAUCCAAAUGCUUAACUUGUAAGGGUCUUGCCCUUCCGUAAAGUCUCCGAACGAUCAAUAUCUAUUCAAAACAUAAUCUCCAUCAGAAUACAUCUAAUGACACUUGUAUCAUAAAUAUAGUCAAAUCUAAAUUUCUCUAUCUAUUUAGUAUCCUAUUCACAAUAUAAUCAUAUAGUUACCUACUGUUACCAACGUUAUUGAAAAAAAUUAACAAUAAUAAUUUUCAAUCUCCAAAAGCCUUCAACUACUGCCAACUAAGAAUGCUUUCUUAACCAACCUGAAACUGUCGCCCCCCUUUUUCUUUUCCUUUAUGCUGAUGUGAGAAAACCUAAGCGUAACUUCUGUAUCCCACCUCUCAAUCUAUCUGAUCUUUUUUUUAAUAAAUAUGAUAAAUCCUUCCUAUCUAAAUUAAUUUUAUACAUAGGUCUCAAGAAUUAAGAAAAUAUCAAUUUAACCUAUUAAUUGCCAUCUAAAAUAAUAUCUAAGAUACUCAAUUAAUGACUUAACUCACCUGGAACAUCUCAAGAAUCGAUACUCUCCAUUUCCGUAAGUCAUAAAUCACGUAUACAAACUAUGGAGAGCGCUAAAAUAGGGAAGAUAAGAAAAUUUCACAAACGACUGGCAGGGUAGAGAGUUAUGUUCUGUAGCAAUCAGUAGUUCUAAACACAACACUAACAUAUACAGUCAAACUUUAUUAUCGUGACAAUGUUUGCCUGAAAACUUUGUAGCUGUUGUAGACUGGUGUUGUUAUAUAUGUAUGCUGAUAUUUAAUGCUUAGAUCUCAUUUAACUAUUAUAAACAAAAGUAUGUAAAACUAGAAAGAAUAUGAAUGUAGAAAAGACAAACAUGAGUAGCCUUUUCCUCGUGAAGUUAUCAAAUAAUUGAUACACCAUUUCAAUAGAUUUUUUUCUUUAAAUUAAAUAUCCGUAUUUGAAAUUUACUGUAAGCAUGACUUUAAAUCUUUAAUGAUGAUCACCAUAAAUAUUUUGAUAUUUUAUUUUGUACAUAAUAUAUUUCUGUACUUACAUAUAUAAUAUUUGAGUAUGCUAUUACAGAGAGAAAAUUUAUAAAGAGUGUACCGCUAUAAUAAAUGGCAUUGUCGUUAUAGGUACAUUGUUGUUAUAGAAGUAAAAUAUAACAUGAAAAAUUAAUUUCGGAGAAAAUCAGCUAGUAAAAUAUUGUUAUAAUGAGGUGACGUUAUAGAGAGAUCUGACUUUAUGAUAUUUAAUGAAUCUCAAUUAUAAUUGAAAAUUGAAUAACAAUGUAUAAUAGUGAACAAAGAUUAACGGGUAAAUCUUAGAAUUACAUGGAAAAAGAUAACUAGAAGGAGAUGAGAUAUUACAACAUAAAAAAAAUAAAAAAAAUGAUAAUAGACUAAGCCAAAACUUCAACAUAAUUUUCAUGCCCUUUUGCAAUACGAGGUUCUCUAUUAAUAACCCUCGGAUCCCUCGAAAAAUAUUUCAAUAUCAAAAAAUGCCCUUUAUCUCAGCAUUUUGGCCAAUUGUGUUCAUACCCAGUGGCGGCCCUAGGUUGAAAAUUGUGAUGUUUCGACACGCGUUAAAUUCGAUGUAGAUAGGUAUAAUUAUAUAAGAAAUGUAUAAAAAUGGUAUAAGAUGAAGAAAAAAAAAAAAAGUACCCCUGAAACCAAUAAGAUAGCUGGAUGCUUUGAUUUUCAUGCGAAACCUUAAAGCUUUAGUAUCAAUAUAUGUGUUUAAACCUCCCGAACACCCACAACUUCUAAAUUCUGAGUCCGCCACUGUUCAGAGCUUGUUCAAAGAAAUCUUAUAGGAUCCUAAAAGAUUGUAUAGUAAAGUUGUGGUAUAAUUAUAAUUCAAGUGUAAUCAUAAUUGCUUUUCAAUCAUCUAUUUUAAAUACAAUUAAGAUUGUCAUUUAUUCAUUUUCUAUAAUAUAAUACUUGUAGUUGUAGUUAUUAGUUUUAAAUUCAAUAGUAUAAAACAUGUAACUAAUAAUGGCAUUUCUUAAUGAAUAAAUGAUUGUAUAUUUUUGUGCAUGCAUAUCUCAUAAAAGCUGUCGUAACUUGAAAAAAAAAAUUGAUUUUCAAUUAACCGUUUUUAAAUAAAAUCUGUUUAUUUAUUGGAAAAUAUGAGUCAAUCUUAAUUAAACGUCUGAAAUAAUUUUAUUUGUUGUAAAAUUAUUAAAUGAGUAGUUCUCAAGAUGUCAUUAAGCUUGAUCACAAUGGAUACUAUUCCCUUUUAAUAUAAUACAGAUAUUAAGCGAUUUGAAAUUAAAAUUAAGAUAUAUCGAAAGAAACAUGACAAAAAUGCACUUACCCUAAUAUUUACUCAAUCCGUCAUUUUGUUGGCAUCUCGCAUUCACGUCCUCGUUUGACUUCCGAUUGGAAAUAUAGUUAUAGAUAGGUUAGUCUUAGUGUGUCGUUGCCUCUACAUGUUACCUCCUUCAAUAACAUGAUUGUUGUCAUCGAUAUACUUCAUAAGUCACUCAGUCAUCUGUGCGUCACUGCGAAUCUUACUUUACACUAUAGUAAAAUGUUUGAGAAAUGAUUAGUAAAAUAUUUUUUGAGAAAGGUGAGGUCAUCAUUCAAUGAAUUUAACAAAUACUGAACUAAUUAAGUCAGAGAUUAAAAUUACUAAAAUAUCAUUAUGUUAUAUUUUGAGAUGAGACAUUGAUUAAUAAAAAUAAUUAAUAACAUGCCUAGUUUAUCAUAGUACCUCUAUUAAAUGAUGUUUAAAAUUUAAUUUGAAGAAAAAGUAAUUAAUGCAAAGGGUAAAAUAUGAAGAAAAAAAAAUUGUCUUAGCUUGAUUAAUGAAAAAAGGUAAGUAAAAUGGGACAUCAAAUUAGGAAAUUUUGGACGAGUAAUUUGAGACGGAGAGAGUAAGAAACAAGAAGAUCUUUAAUUCAUGAAAAGGUAAAAUUAAUGAUAUUUUGAUAAGAAUUUCACUUUAAGAAAAAAAAUAAUCUUAUCCAAAAGGGGAAUAUAAUUUAAAUUUUCAACACUAUAAAUAUGUAUGAAAAAUGGGUUUUAUUUCAAUCAUUUCAAAAUAAUUUUCACAAAAAAAGACUCAAGAUUAUUUGAGAAAAAUAAUGGCUAUGACUAAGCACUUGAUUUUCUUCACUAUACUUCUUUUUGUCAUCUUCCCUACUCAUGAAUGUAAGUAUAAUUUAAAAUUUUCAUUCUUCAUUAUACUUUUAAAGAUAAUAAUUUUGUUGCUAACAUAUUUAGCUAUGAUAUUUUGCUAUGUGAGUGUGUCAAUAUUGAUGUUGACAAGGCUAAAACUUAAAAGUAAUGGUACAUAGUAUUUUUUUUUUUUUAAUUUGUUUUGGUAUGGUUUGUUUGUUCUUUUUUAGUUAUUGAUUUGGCAGGGACAAGGAUAAGGGAUAUAUAAUGAUUGUUUUUUUAGUUAAAAUUUAGAAAUUAGGUUUCAAAUAUUUGUUUGUAUUAGUUGAUGAUAAAUGGAAAAUUUGACAGAAAUUAAAAAUUUGAAAGUCAAUGCAGAAAUUAGAAUAGACUGUUUAUAGGAUGGAAGAAAUUUAGAACAAAAGAAUAUUGUUGUUUUAGGAGUAAAUCAAAUUGAUGAUUUUUAUGAGGAUUGUUGAAAAGAGAAUAUAGCCAUUUAAUUAAUUUGAGUUUAAGUUUUAUUGGAAAUAGUCUCCCUACUUUUUAACAUGGGAAUAUUAUACCCGUAAAUCCUAUUUUAUGGGAUUACGUACAUUGAAUAUAUUGUUUUCAUUUUUGUUUAGAAUAUCAAUCUUGAACUCAAAAAUUUGUAUCAGUAUUAUUAUAUUCUAUAAUUAUUAAUUAGUCAUGUUUCAUUUACUUCUACUCCUCCUUUUUUUGCGAUAUUUUCUUAUUUGAAAGAUGUUUUGCUUUCAAGCAAUAGUACGUUAUCCAUUCAAUAUUACUUGUCAUAUUUAGAAUCGGCACGCUCAUUAAGAAAAUGAUGGUGACAUGACUAUUUUGUCACACCAUUUCUAUUAGUUAAUAUUUAGUAUUACGUCGUGAAAUUAUAAAAAUAAUUUGCAUAAUUAAUAAUUAAUGCUAGGGUAAAAUAUGAAAACAUAGUCGUGUAUUAUAUUCCUGAUAUGUUAAAAAUGAAAAUCUAUUUUUUAAAGUAAUAAAUAAGUAAAAGUGAACGGAUGAAGUACUUUGAUUGCCUAAGUAUAAUGUUUUAAGUUCAUUGUUUUAAAAAAAUAAGUAUCGAAAAAAUAGCAUGAAAAAAUCAUAAAAUAUUUGAAUGAGCAAAACUGAAAUCAAAAGAAUUAUAAUUAUUUUAAUUAUUCAAAUUAAAUGUGGAAUCAGUUGGGACCAAUAAUUUCUUUCGGAAUGGAUUGAGACGUGUAUAUGUGAAUUUGAGGGAAGGAGAGAAGAUUAAAAAAUUAUGAAUAUUUAAGAGGAUUAAAAUAUAAUAAAUAUGAAUAAUUAUGAAGACUGUCAAUGUUAUGAAUAUUUAUCAAAUUCAAUGUGAUUUAUAACUACUAUAAUGCAAGUUAGAAAAUCAAAGGCCUCAAAAUACUCUUAGCUAAUUUAUGAAAACAUUAGGGAGAAAUUACAAAAGAGAGAGAGAGGUUGACUAUAGAACUCCGACUCAAGAUUAAAAAAAAAUAAUUCAUAAAAGACAUGGUGUAGGAAGAAUAGAUAUAACUCAUUGCUGCACCCUUAACCAGAGGUCGAGGGUUCGACCCUGGACAUGGAGAAAACUCUGUUGGGAGCGCUACCCCCCGAAUGGGGCCAUACCCGGUGUGAAUCCAAAUUAGUCGGGCUCCAUUGCGGGUAUCGGAUGAAAAACUAAAAAAAAUAAAUAGAUAUAACUCAACAAAUAAUAAUAGAAACAAGACAACCACAAAAUAAUGCUCCAAUUGAUCUAUCUGAAAUAGUAAUUAUUACCAAAACUCCACAAGCAAGACAUUACAAAUAUAGCACUGGCACAGGUACCAAAACAAAGCACUCCUACCUACGAGAACAAGAACACACUAUCUACUAACCUUCUACCAUAAUUCACCUCUAUCUAAUAUUUCUUCGAUCUACCACUUAAUUCUUUACAUGAAGUCAUGAACUUAUAAUAUAUUACUACAACUCUUAUUUCUUUUAGAUAGUGUCUUAUGCAUAGGGUUACAAUUUUAUAGUCAUAACCACCUAUUUUCUUUAUUUAAAGGAUCACAUUUUCUUUAUUUAAAGAAUCACAUUUUAUUUAAAUCCGUACAACAAAACAGGUUUGGAAGUCAUUAUUAUUUGUUAUAUAAUAUAUAAUUAUAACCAAAUAAUGUUUUAAAGUCAUUAUAAUUUAUUUUAUUUUUUAAAAAAGAAAUAAGAAAAACUCAAGCAUAUAAAGGACACAAACUUAUGUUUGGUCAUGAAUGAGGACACUAACUUUAUACCUUAUUUGUCUACUUUCAAUACUUCUACCGUUUUAUCUUAACAUAUAUUUUACACUUUUAAAACAGCAUAUAUAUUUUUUUCGUUCUUAAACACUUGUCAUAUUUUAUUUUGCAUAGUAUUUAAGUACAACUUUAAUUAGAGAAUGAACUGAUUAAAUUAUUCUUAUUUUCUUUAAUUUAUUUCAACUUAAUAUAGUACUUGACCCCUUUGCACCAUAUAUAUAUAUAUAUAUAUAUAUAUGUUCAUGUAUAUUAAUGACGAAGGGUAAAGGUAUAAAUGAGCAAACUAAUGAUAUCUUUAUUUUCUAAAAUGACAAAUACCUCUCUAUUUCUUUUUAGUUAUUAUGAUAAGAUUUUACACAAUUAUUAAGAAAAAUUAAUUAGGAGUGUAAUUUGACUCAUAUAUCCUUUAUUAAUCUUUGACUAUUUGUCUAUUAAUUCUAGAAUAAUUAAGACUAAGAGAAAAGUUGUAAAAAUAUAAUUAAUUCACUCUUAGAUUUUUUAAUUGACCAAUAUUGGAAACAACAAUUUUCAUUAUAUAACAACUAAAAUAAAAUAGAAAGAGUAUUGCGAGUCAUCUAUUUAUAGUAAGAAAGAUAUACAGUAUCUAGGAACGAAAGUCGUAUUAUAUUUUAUGUUAUAUUUUUAAAAUUUUGUAAUUAAUAAUAUAACAAACACAAAAUAAUUUAUUUUUUAUACAUUUAUCAUUAUUGACAUUAUAUACACGUGCAAAACACGUACAUUAGACUAGUGCAUAUAAUAGAUGAUGGUAAAUCUUUUUAACCUCUUCGUUUCUUUACUUCUUUAUUCUUUUACUUAUUUAUAUUUUUAAUUAUUUUUUUAAUGAAAAUUCCGACGUCAUCAAUAAUAUUUAAGGUUCUAUUGUCUCUCAUGUUAGCAAUCAUUUAUGUAUAUAAACAUUAAACUUGUUUUUAUUUUUAUGUUAUAUUUUACUUUUAUUGCAGGUGAAACUGAUAAUCACGAUACAGUUCGAUUUCUAUCUACCGUUAAUGCUAAAAAACUCAAAAAUAGAAAACUUAUUGAUCUUGGGAGCUGUGUCCAAGUAUCUUUAUCAUGGUGUUGUGAACCUAAUUAUGAAGAAGGGUGUUAUGGUUCAGAAGAGGCUUGCUCAGAACAUUGUCCCAUUUGGCCUCCCCUUAAUUAAUAGUUGUAAUUUAUUUAACAAAUCAUCUUCUAAGAGUUUUGUUAAAUAUUUUAUGAAGCUUCAUGUAUAAAAAUAUAACAUUAUUAGUUUCAUAAUAUAAUGUCAAUAUUUGUUCUUUCUUUAUGUUAUUGUGUUGUUGUCGUAAAGUUUCAUUUCGUACAAACAUGGGUUGUGGUGUAGUGGUGGGACUACUUCACUCUUAACUAGAGGUCUCCGGUUCGAGCCCUGGAUAUGGAGAAAACUCUGUUGGGAGCGUCAUACCCAGAAUGGGCCCUACAGUGCACGAAUCAGAUUAGUUGGGGUUCCAAUAAGAGUGUCGGACACUAAGUGAGAAACCAAAAAAAAAAAAAAGUUUCGUUUCGUGACAUGAAUUGUUUAAAUCUGAUAUUUCAAGAAUAUGAAACUCCGUUGACAAGAGCAUAAUGAUAUCACCGGCUGAAGAUAAGUAAAUUCUUUAGUUUAGGGUUUAGUCAGACUGAUCAAAACCCAAUGGCUGCUUCAGAUGCUGACCAAUUAGCCUGUUGUGAACCGGUCAAACUAAAUCCAGAUCACAUUGGAAAGUCCCACAUUAAUACACGAAUGAAGAAGUCAAGCAUGCUUCAUUUUUCAUUAGUCAAUUUGACUCAUUUUCAAAGCUAAAUUAGAUUAGAUUCAAUUUUUUAAAAUUAAAAUUUAGAUAUUCAGGAAUUAUAUUAAAAGUAUUAUAAAUCGCGAUUUUUCUUUUUUCAAUUUAAUUAAGAAAUACAUCCUGAAAUGUUGGUCAAAUUUUUUGGAUAUAAAACGAAUUAAAAUUAAAAUUAAGAUAGAUUUAAAGAAACAUGAACGAAAUGCACUUAUCCUAAUAUUUUCUCGGUUCGUUUUAGGGAUGUAGUUUUAGAUAAGCUAGUUUUAGCGGUCAUUGACUUCACUUGUUAUUUCCUUUUACGUCAUGUUAUCGUCGUCGUCAUAUUCCAUAUGUCAAUUAGUCAUUUCUGUCUCGCUGCAAUCUUACUUUACACGAUUAUAAAAUGUUUGAGAAAUAAUUCGUCAAAAUAUAUCUUAUUAGGAUGAGGUUAAAUUGAGAAAGGUGACAUCAUUAUUCAAUGAAUUUAUCAAAUAUCGACUUAAUUAAGUUGUAAUUGAAAUAUCUAAAAUAUCAUUAUGUUUUAGUAAGUAAAUUAAUAAAUUAUUUAAUAAGAAUUUCACUUUAAGUAAAAAAAUGAAAUUAUCCAAAAGGGGAAAAUAAUUUAAAUUUUUAACACUAUAAAUAUCUAUAAAAAUGUGUUUUAUUCAAUCCCUCCAAAAUAAUUUUCACAAAAAACUCAAGAAUAUAUGAGAAAAAUGAUGGCUAUGAUCACUAAGCACUUGAUUUUCUUCACUUUAAUUCUUUUUGUCAUCUUUCCUCCUCAUGAAUGUAAGUAUAAUCGAAAAAAAUCAUUUUUCAUUUUACUUUAAAAUUAGAAUUAGCUAUGAACUUCAUCGUUAAAUUGCUCGUUGCUAACAUGUUUUGUUACUGAAUUUAUUCGACACUAGUUCCUAUAUUUUUAAUCAAGAUUUGUCUUAUAUUUUACAAGGUAGAAUUAAUACUUCUUGUCAGUGAGUUCGUUUUUUUUCAUAUAUCGAGAAAUGGAAAGUAUCGCAAGAAAUUUGAAUGAAUAUAUAAGGUGAAAAAUAUUUUUUUAUGUAUACAUAUAGUAAAUGUUAAAUUUCAUUGACUUCUUCGUUUCUUUACUUCUUUAAUUUUUUACUUCCUUAUAUUUUAUUACCUCCUUAACUAAAAUCCUAACGUCAUCGAUAACUUAAGGUUCGAACCUUAAAUUUCUAAUUGAGAUUAGUUGAAGGGCCCUCCCACCAAAAUUUUUGUUUAUUUUUUGUCUCUCAUAUUAAACUUGUUUUUAUUUUUAUGUUAUAUUUUAAUGCAAGUGAAGAAUUAAUUGAUAAAUAUUGAAUCUGUUGACUUUUUGUUUCUUUACUUUUUUAUUUUUUAUCUUUUUAUUACAUCCUUAAUAAAAAUACAGACGUUAUUGCUAAUUUAAGGUUCGAAUUAAAUUUUUUUGACUGAAAUUAGUGGAGGGACCCUCCCACCAAAAUUCUUAUUUAUUUUUUGCCUCUUAUAUUAAGUUUGUUUGCAUUUUUAUGUUAUAUUUUAAUGUAGGUGAAAAAUUAAUUGAUAAAUGUUGAAUCUCUUGAUUUUUUGUUUCUUUAUUAUUUCAUUUACUUUUUUAUAUGUUUAUUACAUUUUUAAUGAAAAUUUUGACGUCAUCGAUAACCUAAGAUUCAAACUCAAAUUUCUGACUGAGAUUACCGGAGGGACCCACCCACCAAAGUUCUUUUUUAUUUUUUUUGCCUCUAAUAUUAAACUUGUUUUCAUUUUUAUGUUAUAUUUUAAUUCAGGUGAAGAACUAACUGAUAAUCGCGAGACAGUUCGAUUCCUAUAUACCGUUGGUUUUAGAGGGAGAAUCGUGACGAAACUCAAAGCUAGGAAACUUAUUAAUCUUGGGAAGUGUGUCCACGUAUCUGUAUCAUGGUGUUGUAAAUCUGAUACAGAAGUAUGUUAUGGUUCAGAAGAGGUCUGCUCAGAAAAUUGUCUUAUCUGGCCUCCUAGCUCUUAAUUAAUGAUUUUAUAUACUAGACGCAGGAGUCUGUGCAAAUACGGGGUCCAAUAUAUAUUACGUUUUGUUUCAAUUUAUGAUAUUAAUAAAUUUUAGAGAUUAUCAAUUUUUUGUAUGAUUUUUAAAUAUGUCUAGUUGAUUAUUAUGAUGUGUAAUACAUUUGAUAUAAUUAUAAAAUAAUAUAUGUUAUUCUUGCCGCUUCAAUUUAUAUUUAUCAAUGGAAUUUGAAGAGUUAACCAAUUUUUUUGUAUAACUUUUAGAUUUUGGUAUGAUUUUUAAAUGUUUUAAGUUGUUAGUUAUUGUGAUUUUCAAUACUUUACGUAAUUUUCAGACAAUAUAUGGUAUUCUCUUUAUGUAAAUUAUGUGACAUUGACGAAAUUUGAAGAGUCGACCAAUAUUUUUGCGCAUAGUUUUUUUUUUCUUACAUAUUUUGAGUUUUUAAUCAUUGUGAUUUAUAAUACUUUCUGUGUUAUUUAUAGAUAAUCUAUGUUACUUAAAAUAACUUUUAUAAUUGUUAUUAAUUAAAUAGCAAGUGAAAACUCAGUUAUAUUUUCAACUUGUUUUAAUCUCUAACCAUGUAAUGUCAAUUUUAUUCAAAAUAGGACCUAAAUUGACUCAUUUAAAAUCCUAAAUGAACCCAAUCCAAUAACCUUCAACCCGAUCCAAAUUCUAAUUUUAAUCGUAACCAUCCACACCUUUUGAUCGGAUGAUCCCUAUCCAUUCCCUAUCAUAUUUUCUUUUUUACUUUACCCUAUCACUCUUAAACUUUAUCCAUUUCCCCAACCCCAACCGUCAGGUCACCGCUUGCCGAAAACACCAUAAUAAAAUCACUCUCCUUCUUUUCUCAUCUCCUUACGCCAUAGUCCAUGCUUAGCUCUUCUCCACGUAGUGAUGAACCUAUAUACACUUGAAGAUAUUUAUCUUUAAAGUUUGUCAAAAGUUAACACUCAUAGUCGUUAAAUAUUUAUCCAACUCUGUUAGAUUUAACAUAAACAAUGAAAUAGAAGUUUCUGCAAAUAUUAAAAAAGACCUGUCAGAUUCUAAAAUAUUCAACAUGCGGCCUUGCAUAUAUUUUCACAUAUGUGGACCCUAUAUCUUCCAUUUAUUUUAUUUUUUAUUAAUCUUUUUUUAUGUAUAAAAUUAUUUCAAAUAUAUUAUAUUUAAGUAAAUUGAUUAGUAAGAUGAUAAUUUAUUUUAAAAAUUAAUUAUUGAUACAAUUAAUUAAAUUUUAUUCUUUAUUUAAUUUCAUAUCAAAUAUAUAAUUUACUUUCUUUCUUAUUUGUUAUUACAAUUUCACCUAAUUUAAUUUAUUUUUCUAAUAUAUAGAAGAGAAAAUUUUGAUAUGCCUACUUAUAUUGUCUUCUUCAACUGCUUUAAUCGUGAUUUUAUUAUAUUGCCCAUAAUUAAUUAUUAUAAGUCAUUUAUAUAUUAAAAAAUUAAUAAUAUUUAAUAUAAAAAAUAAAAUAAACAUGUAUAACAUGUCUUCUUCAGCUGCUUUAAUCGUAAUUUUACUAUAUAUCAUCCCUAAUUAAUUAUUAUAAGUCAUCUAAGUAUUUAAAGCAGCUCUUCAUUGAUCUUUCGGCUUCAGUUAUUUGCUCCGUGAUUUUACUAUAUCAUUCCUAAGUAGUUAUUAUAAAUUAUUUACAUAUUAAAAGAUUAAUAAUAUCUAAUAAAACAAUAGAAUAGACAUUUAUGAUAUGUCUGCAUCAACUGCUUUAAUCAUAAUUUAAUAAAUAUGACCUCUAAUUAAUUAUUAUAAGCCAUCUAAGUAUUAAAUAAAUAAAUAAUAUUUAAUUAAAAAGAUAAAAUAGAUAUAAAAUGAUAAGUCAACUCUUGAUGUUUUAAAAUAAUUUGACGUCUUAAGUGAGAUUUCAUUUACUUUUUUUUUUCACAAGUAUCUUUUAUAGAAAUUCUAUUAUAUCACUUCUAAUUAGUUGUUGUGAGUCAUUUAAGACAUGUCUAUUUCGUUGCUUCAAUCGUGAUUUUACUACAUCACCUCUAAUUAAUUAUUAUAGUCAUCUAAGCAUCAUGUCACUUAAAUUGGAGUAGAAAAAGUUUUAUAAUCUAUUAUAUAUUUUUAUAAAAUACUUAAAAAAUACUAUAAAUCACAAUAAUUAACAACUUAAAAAUUUUAAAUGAUAUAAAUAUUUGAUUGACUCUCGAAAUUAUACCAGUUUCACUUAAAUUGAAAUAGAAGAAAAAUAUUAUAAAUCACAAUAACUAAAAUUUUAAAUUAUUUAAAAAAUACAAUUGACUAUCAAUGCCACAAAAGUUUGAAUAGAGAGAGUAACAUAUGUUAUUUAAAAAUUACAUAAAAAAAUUAUUAUAGAUUACAAUAUUAACAACUUAAAAUACUUAAAAACAUAUUAAAAGUAUGAUCGAUUAUCUAAAUUCAAUUUGUGUCAUAUAAAUUGAGACAAAAAAAUAUAUAUUGAGCUCAUGCUAGAUCUUGGAUGGCUCUUAGGAUGUAUAUGCAAUCCAACUUUUUUUUCUUUUUAGCUUUUGUUUAAAUAUAUUAAAAUUGAAAAUACAAGUUCUAAUACAGUGCAUAAGAAAUAAUGUUAGCAUAAAUAAUACCAAUAUUAUUAAUACAAGUAUUAUUAAUGUAAACAUUAUUAAUACAUUCUAUCGGCAUUAUUUUUGUACACUCUAACAAAAGACUCCACGUUUCAAUGUAAGGAACAUAUAUAAAAGCAAAGUUCAAUAAAAUAUCUACAUAAAUAUAUUUUAUCGUGUUCUCAAAGUCAAAUAAUUUAAAUUAAUAUGAAAGAUGGUAACUUAUAGUUUUCUUUUCUAUAUAAUUUUUAAAACACUUAAAAUUUGAAUUUAAAAUAUUAAUUUAGUUUGACUUCAAAGAACAAGGUGACAAAUAAAAGAGAAGGAAAAAAUGAAAGCAAAUGAUAUUUAUGGCGACUUAGUAAGGGAAUAUAAUGCGGGUUAUUAAUUGCAAUUCACAUGUGAUGUAAUAUGUAAUGACUAGAUAACCCUUUAUCUUUUUCAACACCUAUUCUCAAAUCUCAUGUAUUAUUUUUAAUCUCAAAUUUUCUACUUAAUGUAGCAAAUCUCAAUCAUAUGACUAAAGAUAUAAAUUUUUAAAUGCAUCAAAUUUUAUUGUUUAUAUGAGUAAGUUGUACAUAAUUAUCUUGUAAAACUUAACUCCGAGAUAAAUACUACCAAGUUGUUAAUAUGUUUUGUAUAUUCAUGUUUUAUAAUUCAUAAUUCAAAUUAGUAUCAAUUUAACUUAUUGUACAUAAUAAAAAUAUCUUAACAUUAUGGAGUAAAUAUGAAACUAAUUGAAAUUAAAAUUAAGAUAUAUUGUAGAUAAGUUAGUUUUAGCAGAUCGUUAAUUUCAUUUGUUAUUUUCUUCUACGAUAUAUUAUUGGUGUUACCAUAUAGUAGAUGUUAAAUCUUUUUAACUUCGUAAUAAAAAUUCCGACGUCUUCAACAUUCGAAUCCGAAAUUUCUUAUUGAGAUUAGUGGAGGGACCCUUCCACUAAAAUCCUUGGUAGUAAAUAAAUGAAAUUUCCACGGGGUCAAUAUAUAUUACGCGUUUUGUUUCAAUUUAUAUGAUAUCGAUAAAUUUUAGAGAUCAUCAAAUUUUUGUAUGAUUUUUAAAUAUUUCUAGUUGAUUGUUGUGAUGUGUAUGUAAUACAUUUGAUAUAAUUUUUAAAUAAUAUAUUUACUUCUGCCGCUUCAAUUUAUGUUCACUAAUGGAAUUUGAAGAGUUAGCCACAUUUUUGACAUAAUUUUUGAAUUUUGGUAUGAUUUUUAUGUGUUUUAAGUUUUUUAAUUAUUGUAAUUUAUAAUACUUUACAUAAUUUUCAGAUAAUAUAUGUUAUUCUCUCUAUGUUAAUUACGUGAUACUGAUGAAAUUUAAAGACUCAAUCGAUAUUAUUGUAUAUAGUCUUUUUUUUUUUUUUUUACAUAUUUGGGUUUUCAAUUAUUGUGUUUUCAGAAUCCAAUGGCUGCUUCAGAUGUCAAUCAGUUAACUUGUUGUAAACCAGACAAACUAAAUUCAAAUCAUAUUGGAAAGUGCCACUUUGAUAUACGAAUACAAAAAUACUUACCCCUCCGCUACAAGUCUUGUUGAUGAAUGUUGACAUAGUUAAUUAACCUUUAUCUAAUUUUCUAUUUUUCCACCGUAAAACUAUAUUUGGCAGAAUUUCAUAUUAAUAACGUGUUAUAAAAUAAUAAUAAAAUACUAAACAAGCUGUUGUACAAGCGACUUGCUUGUGCAAGCAUAUCAAAAUUACAUGUUUAUCUGAUCGCAAGCUUAUUCAAGAAGUUGUGAAAUGGACAUAGACAAUACUGUAUAUUUAUAGUUAUACUACAAUGAUAUCCGUCGAAGAUAAGUAAAAUUCUUUAAUUUAGGACUGCUUCAGAACUUCAAAUGCCAACUAGUCAAACUAAAUUCAAAUUCCCAUUUAAAAGUCUCAUAUUAAUAAUCAAUGAAGAAAUUCACUUUAAUGAAAUUUAUUGUGCAUAAUAAUUUUGAGCAUCUCAUUUCACACACACACAUAUUUAUUUAUUUAUUUAUUUAUAUACACGAGAAAAUUGAUAAAAAUUGUCUUAUAUGUUUGAGAAUAGGUUUCAAAAUAGUUUUUUAAGUAUACACUUAAAAAUAUUUGUCGUUGAAGUCUGUCAAACGUUAACACUCGUAGCAUUAUAUAUUUACCCAACUCUAUCGGUUAGAUUAAACAUAAACAGUAAAAUAGAAGUUUCUACAAAUAUUAAGAAAGAUCCGUCAAAUUUUAAAAUAUACAACACAAACUACUUUUAGACACUUACAUAAGAAAAAUAGCAAGAAUUAUAACGGAAGAAGUUACACCAAAUUCUAAAAAUAAAUUAAAAGUAGCAUAACUACAAAAUUUUUAAUUCAAAAUGUGGAUUAUGGCUAUUUUUUUUAUAGUUCCCGUUAAAUCUAAUAUACAAAAGUCGGUAAAAUAUUUGACGGAUUAAAAGAUUGGGCAAAAUAACAUAAAUUCCAACAGUCUAGAGCUUAAUUACAGAUCAUUCCGAUAAUUUUUUUAGAAAAUUUCAAUUUUAUAAUUAGCUCCCGACACAUCCAACGAAGAUAUAUAUUUUUUUCUUUGUAAAGAUACAUAAUUAGCUCACAAUACGUUUUUUCGAUUUUGGGUUUGUCAAGAUACAUAAUACAUCCGAUGAAGAUACAUUUUUUUCUUGUAAAGAAUUAAAGAUACGUAAUUAGAUUCAGAUAUAUUUCUUUUUGAUUUUGAGUCUGUCGAGAUACAUUAUUAGCUCCCUGAUACAUCCAAUGAAAAUACAUUUUUCUUUGUAAAGAUAUAUAAUUAGCUCUAGAUAUACAUUUUUUUCAAUUUUGGGUCCGUCGAGAUAUAUAAUUAACUCUCUAGUACAUCCAAGGAAAAUACAUAAUUAGCUAAAAUUUUUGUAAUUAUUUUUUAAGGGUGAUAAUUUGUAUAAAUAUAAACUUAGACGAUCAAAACUGUCAAAAAAUAUACUUUAAGAUACUAUUCUGAACCCAUGUCCAAAUAUAAGGGACCAUUUUAUUAAAUUUUUCCAUAUAUAAAUUCCUUAACGUAAUUCAUAUUUUGGUAUCUAUUAUUUUUUUCUUUUGAUUUUUCGGUUUCAAAUUCCUUUCUUCACCUUCUCCUUGUCAUAUUUUGCUAAGAUUUUGUCAGGUAUAUUUCCAUUUUCUUUCUGUUUCAUAUUUAAUUUACUGAUUUUUUUAAAUUUGUAUUUAUUUAUUUAGUUAUUUUUUUGUGUUUUGUGAGUUUGAUCUGUUAAUUGUGUUUCUUGAAAGUUGUAUAAAUUUGAGUUUCUUGGUGUUUUCUGAAUUGGGUUAUUGAUAAAUCAAAACUUGAUUGUUUCUUGAACUUGUUGGAAAUGAUUUGGUUGAUUGAAUUGCUAAUUACUGGUAAAGUUACUUGUUUUUUUUCUUGGUAUAAGUUGCUUUUUAUUGGUUAAUUUAAUUGUUAGUCUUGUUAUGUGUUACUUCAGAUAGAGUCUUUCGAAAAUAACUUCUCUAUUCUACCCUCGCUAGACCCCACUAUACAUUGGAUUUGUUGUUGUUGUUGUUGUUUGUUAAUUUGAUUGCAGUCUUGUUAUGUGUUACUUGAGCUUUUUUAUAACCACGAGGUAGGGGUAAGAUCUGCGUAUGCUCUACCUCCGUUAGAUCUCUACCUCCGUUAGAGGCCACUUGUGGAAAUACGCGGGGCAUGUUGUUGGUUAAUUUAAUUGAUGUCUUGUUAUGUGUUACUUUUUUUUUUUUUCCUGAGCUGGGGGUGGGGGUUUAUCUGGAACAACCUCUCUACUUCUUCGGAGGUAGUGGUGUUGCGUACGUUUACCCUCCCCGGACCAUACUAUGUGGAAAUACUCUGGGUUUGUUGUUGUUGCUUGUUAUGUGUUACUUUAGUUGAGGGUCUUUGGGAAAGUUCCUAUGUAUAUACACGAGGUUAGGGUAAGGUCUGCGUACACUCUGCUCUCCCUGACCCCGCUUGUAGGAAUACACGGGGUAUGUUGUUAUUGUUUGUUGGUUAAUUUGACUGUUGUCUUGUUAUGUUUGAGAUUUUUUAUAACCAUGACUUAGGGGUAAGAUCUGUGUAUGCUCUACCUUCGUUAAACCCCACUUGUUGAAAUACACGGGGCAUGUUGUUGUUGUUAUUGGUUAAUUUAAUUGUUGCUUGUUAUGUGUUACUUUAGUUGAGGGUCUUUGGGAAAGUGCCUAUGUAUAUCCACGAGGUAAGGGUAAGGUCUGCGUGCACCAUACUCUCCUAAAUCCCGCUUGAAGGAAUACAAUGGGUAUGUUGUUAUUGUUUGUUGGUUAAUUUGAUUGCAGUCUUGUUUUGUGUUACUUGAGCUUUUUAAUAACCACGAGGUAGGGGUAAGAUCUGUGUAUGCUCUACCUUAGUUAGACCCCACUUGUGGAAAUACAGGGGGCGUGUUGUUGUUGGUGAUGGUUAAUUUAGUUGGUGUCUUGUUAUGUGUUACUUUAGUUGAGUCUCUUUGGGAAAGUGCCUACGUAUAUCCAUGAGGUAGGUGUACGGUCUGCGUACACUCUACUCUCCUGCGUACACUCUACUAUCCUAGACCCCACUUAUAGGAAUACAUUGGGUAUGUUGUUGUUUUUUUUGUUGGUUAAUUUGACUGUUGUCUUGUUAUGUGUUACUUGAGCUGAGGAUCUUUCGGAAAUAGCUUCUCUAUCUCUAUGCUCUACCUUCGUUAGACCCCACUUGUGGAAAUACACGGGAUAUGUUGUUGUUAUUGUUUUUAUUGGCUGAUUUAAUUGCUGCUUGAUUCCUUGAUCACCUUGUAGGUUUGUUUGGUAUAAUGAUUUUUGUUCUUCCGUUCUCUAAAUCCGAGUCUUUUAUUAUGCCAUAUAAUAUAAAGAUGAGAGUGGCAAUAUUAUAUGAAAAUAUAGCAAAGUAGUUCAACAAGUAGUGAGUUGUGCUAAAAAAUAACUAAAAAGGCUAAUUAGUUACCCCGCGUGGUCCCACAAAAUGGGGUCUGGAGAGGGUAGAGUGUAUGCAGACCUUACGUAUAUCUCAGAAGUAGAGAGAUUGUUUUCGAUAGACCCUCAGCUCAAGGAAAAACGGUCCAAAGCAGUCUAAAAAAAGAAGUAACGAAAGUACAAGAAACAACGGAUAAUAAACAAAAUUGUACUAGAACAAUACAAUACAAUACAAUUAGCCAAAGAACAAGACACAACAAAUAGUAACAUAAACCGAUGGACAAGAAACUACAUGAGCAAUACUAUGACUAGUAUGGACGGACAUCAAGACAAACACUCUUACCUAUUGACCUUCUACCCUAAUUUGUGUCCUCCACAAUCUCCUAUUUAAGGCCAUGUCCUCGGUAAGCUGAAACUACACAUGUUCUAUCUAAUCACUUUUCCCAAAUACUUCUUCGAUGUACCUCUUCCUCUUCUGAAACUAUCCAUAGCAAAUUGUUUACACUAACAGAAUGUCGAGACAAGCUUGAUAUGUUAAUAUGUUUGUAAGUUUGAUACGAGAAACUCGUACUGGUAUUUACUUCGUACACCAUUUUUAGGACAUUUUACAUGCUUAGUGUCUCUGUUUUCUUCAUUCUUAUAUAGAAUUUAUAUGGAGUAUCGCGAGAAUGUUUAAAUGAUGGAAAUUGGUUGAAAGUUCCUUACAGAAAAAUUAGAUACCAAAGUUGAAUCGAAACUAUAAAACUGGUAUUAAUCGGAUGAUUGCCUUGCUUCCAUCUGAUUUAGAUCUAUAUAGGGGAUAUGUUCCUUAAAUUUUAUUCUUUCAAACAUGAAUGACUCCUUAUUGUAUUCAAUUGUUACAUCAUGUAAGGUUCAUUUUCCACUAUUACACGGUGAUUUUCUUUUAUAGUGCGUUCACAAAGAUCACAAAGUUCAUUCAAGUCAAAUCUGUUAUUUCAGUCUCUGCGAAUUUUUGUUUUGCUUUGUCUAGUACUUUUUAAUAUUCUGAAGAGUUGUAAUUUUUUUUUGACAACAAAUUUUUGGUUACAGGACUGAAUUUAGAAUUUGGAGAUGUUAGAGCAGUUACUGAUCUUCACUAGAGGGGGGUUAAUCCUCUGGACAUGUAAAGAGCUUGGAAAUGCUCUUAGAGGUUCUCCGAUUGAUACAUUGAUUCGUUCAUGUCUUUUGGAGGAACGUUCAGGUGCUGCAUCAUACAAUUAUGAUGUCCCUGGAGCUGCAUACACUCUUAAAUGGACGUUCCACAACGAACUGGGACUUGUUUUCGUCGCUGUGUAUCAACGGAUUCUCCAUCUUUUGUAUGUGGAUGAGUUGCUUGCUAUGGUUAAACAUGAAUUCUCGGAGAUUUAUGAUCCCAAAAAGACUGUCUACAAUGACUUUGAUGCUAUUUUCCAGCAGCUACGCAAGGAGGCUGAGGCUCGUGCUGAGGAUAUCAAGAAAUCGAAGCAGGUGGGAAAGCCCGUCAACGGUAAUCUUGGUAAGAAGCAAGGACAGGUACAAAAGGGCGGUACUGAUGGAGGCAACAAAAAAAAGGGUGAUGGUGAAUCAGGAAACGAUGGUGAUAAAGUGAAAGGCAACGCUAAGGAGAACGGACAUUUUAACGGUAGUAUUGAAAAUGGAGUAGUUAACUGUAAAGAGGACGGGAAUUCCACCGCUGGGGCUUUUGAUGUAAAUAAGCUACAGAAGCUCAGGGCCAAAGGUGGAAAGAAAGUAGAUACUGUUGUAAACAAAGGUUCCAAGGCAGAGCCUACAAAAAAGACAAAGAAGAAUAGAGUUUGGGAUGAUUCACCUUCUAAGCCAAAAUUGGAUUUCACAAAUUCCGUGAGUGAGAAUGGGAAUGAGAACGAGAAUGUAGCAGGUGUGGCAGCAGAACAAGGUGAGAGUAUGAUGGACAAAGAGGAGAUCGUGAGUAGUGAUAGCGAGACGGAGGAGGACGAAGAACCAGGGAAGGAUAGCAAGGUUGAGGCAAAGAAGAAAGGCUGGUUCUCAUCCAUGUUCCAGAGGUAAAUUUCGCUCUCCCUUGAUUGUAGGAACGGUCAAAAUUGCAUUUUGCUAUUUGAAUCACAUCUUGUUUUGUUAAUUACAUUCUUAUAUAAGAUUUGCAUCAGUUGUUUCACGCAAAGAGAAAAGUGGAUACUCAGGUAUAUUCAUUUAAUUGGGAAGUGCACGGGUAUCUUGUAGAUGGGCACCAACAGGUCGAUGUUUUUUUCUCUCAAACUCCUUUAAUAUCACCCAAAUACUUUUUGAGACCCUUGAAUUAUCCUUUGAUUAUGCUCAGAUGUUUUUUUUUCUUCGUGAAAAAUACCCUUGGACGUGUUAGGGAAUUAAAGUUUUGAUUACCUGUUAAUGCUGUUCUGGUAGUUUCUCUGAAGGGAUCCAAAAGCUUUACAUAUACAUUUUGCUAUAAGCUUAAGACAAAGACACAGUAAAUUUAGGUACUCUUAGUUUAUGAAUUAAAUUUGAUUUGACUUGCGAGAAGCAGAAAAAUGUUGCAGAGAAAUAGGGAAACACAUAAGUCCGGUUUCACUUCCAACGUUUUCAUUAUAUUGCACUUGCUUUAUCUAGAAUAGCUAGUUUAAAUUGUCAUUCUUCUGAAUUUCUAUCUCACAGUGAAAUACUUACAUCAUAUUUAAAAUAAUUGGUUGUUGACUUGUGUUUUGUCCUGAUCCGGGGUUCUAUCGGAAACAGCCUCUCUACUUAUUCGGAGGUAGUGGUAUGGACUACGUACGCUUGACCCUCCCAAGAUCCCACUAUGUGGGAAUACACUGGGUAUGUUGUUGACUUCUUGUUGUUGACUUCUUGUUGUUGACUUGUAUGUCUCCAGUAUUGCGGGGAAGGCAAACUUGGAGAGGGCUGACCUAGAACCAGCUCUGAAAGCUCUUAAGGACAGACUGAUGACGAAAAAUGUGGUAAGUUAAAUAGUUAUUUUACACCUACAGUAACAGGAGAUUUUGUUUCAUAGGUGACCAAAAGUUUCUCAGCAGUUCUGCCGUUAAACUUGGUUGACCAAUAUUUUGCUUUUCUACAGGCUGAGGAAAUAGCUGAAAAGCUGUGUGAAUCUGUGACAGCAAGUCUGGAGGGUAAAAAACUUGGAUCAUUUACAAGAAUUUCUUCAACAGUUCAGGUAAAACCUCCCGUAAUUUUCGGAAGUGUUACAUCUUAAUACUAAGUGUUUAUUCCCAACAACUGGAAAAUAAUACAUCAACAACUGCGAUUUAUUCCCAAGUUAUUUUGGGUUGUUUCCCCCUUGCUAUUUGGGCUAUCUCAUUCCACUACUCAAUGAAGACAAAUUAGGGACUCUCUAAAAUUGGAGUUUUUUGAAACCCUGCAACUAUCUAUGCGUUAUCAUAUGAUCAUUAACCAAACUUAAAUUUAUCCUAUUAGACAUUGUUUAUAUGGAUAGUUUGUCUCCAUUUUGUUAUAUUCUUCACAAUGUAUACAUGGAUUCUAAGAAAUUAUCCCAGGCGAUCGUCUCCUUUUUAUUCCUCUAAAUGUGCUAUUGGCACCUUUUGUGGAAUAUGAUCAUUUUUAAAAUCUUUCUCAUUUUGUAUGUCCACAAAUCAUUUUAGCAUAUGCAUCUGUACAAUAUUUAUAUUGAGCCUUCAAGCAUUCACUCCGAUAUCGUAGUGCUGGUUUCUUGCUAAGUAUCCUCUUUUUGACACGACAUUCCCCUAGCGCAGCCCCGUCUAAUCUUCAGUGUCGUUUUCUGGUUGUGUUGAACUGGCAGUGCGUAUAUUCUGUCACGGUCCUACUUAUACUAAAAUCAUCAUUCUCUAGAAUGUUCUCCAAUAAGUAUAACCCCAUCCUUUACACUAUGUUAACUCAUCAACAAUCGAGGUAAACAAGGAUGGCCUCAAGGUCGAUCACUGGUGAACAUUCAGUUAUGGGAAACUACUCUGUGUGCAUCUUCUCCCUUUGCUCUCAUGGUUGUGAGGGUGCCUUCUUACAUAUCCUUUAUGGCAUUUAUGUGUUUGGUAGAAAUUCCUUUCUUAUCUGGCCGUUAAAAGUUUUUCUAAGCCCAAGAUCUUUCAAUUCUCCUUGUCCCUCCCCCUUUCACUGACCCUCCUACAAGUAAAAGAAAAAAGGUUCAAAAAGGUAUGUUAACGCAGAAUAACUGCAUGCAGAAAUUUGGAAAAUCUUCGGUCCAUAUUUUCCUUUUUUGGUCAGGUCGGAACUCUGAACAUACUAAUAUGGUGCACUGAAUUGUUUGAAACAGGCAGCAAUGGAGGAGGCUCUUGUCCGCAUCUUGACUCCCAGACGCUCCAUUGACAUUCUAAGGGAUGUCCAUGCCGCAAAGGAACAAGGAAAGCCAUAUGUUGUGGUUUUUGUUGGAGUUAAUGGGGUUGGAAAAUCGACCAAUCUUGCUAAGGUUAUUAAAUAAGCUUUUAUAUUUUAGUCAAAAUGCCCCCAAAUAUAUACUAAAAGGGCUCAGUGUUGGCCAGUUAAGACUUCCCAUAUCCAAAAGUUGAAGGUGGCGGAAAUGAGGAUGUUGCGUUGGAUGUGUGGUCUUACAAGGGCUGACAGGGUUAGGAAUGAGAUUAUUCGGGAGAAGAUGGGAGUGGUAUCGGUGGAAGAAAAAAUGCGGGAAGCGAGGUUGAGAUGAUUUGGUCAUGUGAUGAGGAGGGGCACGGAUGCCCCAGUUCGUAGGUGUGAGAGACUAGCGUUAGAUGGUUUCAAGCGGGGUAGGGGUAGACCGAAGUAAUACUGGAGAGAAGUGAUUAGACGUGACAUGGAGCAGUUACGUCUCACUGAGGACAUGACCUUGGAUAGGAAGGUUUGGAGGAAAAACACUAGGAUAGAGGGAUAAGGUGGGUGGAUGAAUCGUAGUCCGUAGUUAGGAGGGUUUUGGUGUCUUUUGUUUGGUAUUGUACAUUACUUUUGUGGAUGUUGUAUCUAUGUUAGUUUUAUCAUGAAACAUGCUUUGAAUAUUUUUGUAUAUUGUCCUGUGUCUUGAGCGGGGGGUCUAUUGGAAACAAGCCUCUCUACUUCUUUAGAGGUAGUGGUAUGGACUGCGUACAUUCUACCCUCCCCAGACCCCACUAGGUGGGAAUAUACUGGGUUUGUUGUUGUUGUUGUUGCUCAUCUGCCAUUCUGCAGGUUGCAUACUGGCUUUUGCAGCAUAAGAUCAAUGUCAUGAUGGCUGCUUGUGACACAUUCCGAUCAGGAGCAGUUGAACAGCUACGUACUCAUGCACGUAGACUUCAGGUAUGUCAUGAUAUGGAGUCAAUGAUUAUGAAAAUUCUCGAUUUUUACUGGAUGGAAAUGUUUUUUACAAGCUCUGAUGGCUCAGUUAAAUUUUCUGCUUAUCAGAUCCCAAUAUUUGAGAAGGGCUAUGAGAAGGAUCCUGCUAUUGUUGCUAAGGAAGCAAUUCAGGAGGCUUAUCGAAAUGGGUCCGAUGUUGUUCUUGUUGAUACAGCUGGUCGGAUGCAGGUAAACUCGAAGUUUCAUACCUCAACAGUUAUAACAUGUCUUUGUUCCCUUGGGGGCUCUACGAGUUCUGACUUCUACGUAGUAUGAGUGGAAUGUGGUGAUUGGUUAUUGUGUUAUUUUCUUUAACCCCUUUUUUGUUUAAUCUUCCACUUCGUUAGUGUUUACACCGACGUGUCGUGUUCUACAGGAUAACGAACCGCUGAUGCGAGCAUUGUCAAAGCUUAUAUAUGUCAACAGUCCAGAUCUGGUCCUUUUUGUUGGGGAGGCACUCGUCGGCAAUGAUGCAGUAGACCAACUGUCGAAGUUCAACCAGGUUUGCUUAUACAUAGUUAUGACACUUUUGCUUUCAUAGUUUCUUAGUAACCUGCAUCUUAUGUUGUGCUUGAUGCUUCAUUUUUCUUGCAGAAAUUAGGUGACCUCUCCCCUUCACCAAAUCCAAGGUUAAUCGAUGGAAUUCUGCUGACCAAGUUUGACACUAUCGAUGACAAGGUAUACGAUUUGGUCAAUUCCAUCAUAAAAAAGAUUUAUCAUGUCUUUUUUCCUAUCCAGAUAUGUAGCAUUAACUUAUGGUCACUAAAGUUAUCAUUAUAACAGUGAAAUCACUUAACUACUAGUAUUUUUUGUCCAAAUUAAAGUAACUGAACUUGCCCACUACGUUAGUAAAAUCACUAAACUUUUCCCAACGACAAAACUAACCCAUUAUGCAUACUUUACUGUUAAUCUGUUAUAGUUGAUUAACUUUUAUGGCUUCAAUCUUAUAGUAAAAUUUAGUUACUUCAAUGGGGCGAAAAAUAGUCUUGACUAUUGUUAUAGCGGGGAAGUUCAGUGAUCAUCCAUGAAAGUAAAAGUAACCCUGUUUUUGCAUGUAGGAGCAUUAUUCUUGUAGCUCCCUAUCCUUCGGUUCAUGUUACUACAUUUUAUUUCUUGAGUUUCGGUUAUCGCGGUAUUUUGCUAUUGUUACUGUUCCUUUUCUAACACUUCUCUUAUAAUUUACUGCCUUCUUUGAUUUUAUAUUUUUCUUUUCUACUGGCUUUGAUAUAUGCGUUACUUGAGCCGAGGGUCUUUUGGAAACAACCUCUCUACCUCCACGANNNNNNNNNNNCCGCCCCCCCCCCCCCCCCCACCUGUGCGAUUGCACUAGCUAUGUUGUUGAUUUGAUUAGCAUCCUCAUAAUCAUCCUUGUUCGUUCAUAGGUGGGUGCAGCAUUAUCCAUGGUAUACAUAUCCGGGGCACCGGUCAUGUUUGUGGGAUGUGGACAGUCAUAUACAGACUUGAAGAAGCUGAAUGUCAAGUCCAUUGUCAAGACACUGCUCAAAUGAGAACUUCAUGUCUUUCUUAAAACUUUGUUUGGCUUCAAGAUGUUGUCCUUGUUGAGAAAAUGAACACUUUGUAAUGUUUGUUUGCUGCAAUUUGUGUGUACACUCUUCCCAUCUGUGAUCUCACUGAUUUUGACUUCUAAGUUGAAUCAAAUCUUGGAAACAAACUCCUCUUUUUGUCUUAUGAGAUUUAAGUUAUAUACAUAGACAAUGUAACUUUUGUACAUUAUGUUGGGCUCAGCUUGCCCAAAGACUGUCGGCUUUGGGCUUAAGUCCACACGGUUUUGUCCAAAAAAGAUCUCACGCCAUUAAGAGAUCGUACAUCGUAUAUGUAGCUUCCUAGUUCCUUCAGCUACCAGUGUGGCCCAUCACCACGAUUCACUGGUCAAUUUUUGAGAUUCAUUGUACUGUGGUGCUACCCACAUCCAACAAUCUUUCCCUCGAAUUAAGUUCGGCGUGGUCCGUCACCAGCACGAUCCACGAGGUCAUCGUAAUUCACUAUACUGUGUGUUGUUUUGAGUAUUUAUGGCAGUUGAAGCCCACAACUACUUUUCGUAUGUGCAUUUCCAAGCUCGUAAGGUUAAGCAAAUCGAGCACGACACGCAUCACUCCACCACAUUUCCAUACUCGCCGAAUUUGGGCUCUGAUACUAGUUGUCUCAACUAGCCCAAAGACUCUUGCAUGGUGUGAUGUUUUAAGAGAUCCUACACCUUAUAUGUAGCUUCCCAGUUCCUUCAGCUACUAAUGUGGGACUUUGGUUCGCAACGCCAACAUAUUACUAUGUCAGUUUUAUUUUGUUGUAGCUGGUAACGCAACUUCUGAGACUACUUAUGGAGGAGAUUAUAGCAUGUUUAGCCACGCUUUUGAAAGGUCAAAAAAGCUUAUUUUAGAGAAUGAAUGUAUUUGAGUUGCUACUUUGAAUUACUUCACUCAAGCAAAGGGUCUUUUGACAAUAGCCAGUGUAAGGUCUGUGAUCCAGCCCAUUCUCUGAAUCCUAUGCAUAGUGAAAGUUUUAGUGUAUCGGAUUGUCCUUUGGGAUUUGGCUCAACGAAUGGGAGUAAAAGCACUUCUAAUCAAGAAAAGCUACACUAGUUUCCAAGUCAUGAAACAAAAGCUUGUAAGAACUCAUACCACCAAAUGGCCACUAAUUUACUCAAACGACUCUUGGAUCCCGUGUUAGCAGGGUGCAGGAAAGGGCCGCACCCCAAUAAUGAUGAGUUAUUGAAUAACAAUAUGCAUAGGGUUUUCACAAAACAAUGUCUUUUUAAUGUAAGUUACAAACACAUGAAAAAGAAAUUGUUAUAACAUAAGAGCCCCAACAUUUAAGAUCAAAUGACCAUUUCAUGCUUAGACCAUAGCGCCUAGGCUCAAAUAAAAAUGAACUUCUAAUGUAUGUUGCUCGGGCUCUUCAAGAAAUGUCAUCAGGUGCGUGUCGAAUCCCUCUGAAGUAGUGCAAUUUUGAAGGAUCCGACACGGGCGUGACAACAUUUUUGAAGAGUCCAAGCAACUUAGGUUCUAAUGUUCUUCUGAACUAAUCAACACUGGCCAACAAUUAAUAGCUAUUAGAGUUGAAAGUAAUGUUGAAUUGAAGUUUGGAUCACUAUUUUUUGAGAAAAUAACUUAUUUUUAAUAUGAAAAUGAAUCAAAGAAGAAAUUGUCAAACAACUCUUAUUUGGUAUCUAUACAACUAUAGUUGCCUUAGUGUGUCAAAAGUUAAAUAUUCCAAGCAUAUUUUAAGUAAUAUUUUUAGGCACUCAUGUUUGCAUCUUUUAUGUGCUAAAGUUGAGAAUAUUUGAAUUGAUUUGCCAUUAUACAUAUCAUCAAAGGUUGGAUGGAGUGACAAGUACUCUGAUGUUGCAUUCAAAGUGGGAUUUUAUAAGACGAAUUGAGAUUAGUUGGGUCUCAAAAUAGAUAUCAGUCACCGGAUGGAAAACCAAAGAUCAUACGCUCAUACUUGGCUUCAGAUGGUAAGUAAACACUCUAACUUUGAAAGUGUACGUCUUGACAGCUCAACUUGGUUUCAACUGACAACUAAACACUCUUACUCAUUCUUAUUGUGUCUCGUGGACGCUCGAUAUUGGCAUGAAAUAUAAAUCUGAAGGUGUCUAGCUGAUUAUUUUAUAAGUUGAAAUAUUCAACUAAGAGUAUAUGGUUCUUAUGACAUUAUAAUAUGAUAUUUUCUUGAUAAAAUAUUACAAGAUUGCCAAAAAAUAAAAUAACAUAAAAACACAUGGCAAAUUUCAUCAUUAAUCCGUUGUAGUCUAGUUGGUUAGGAUACUCGGCUCUCACCCGAGAGACCCGGGUUCAAGUCCCGGCAACGGAACUCUUUUUCAGUAAAGUUCCAACUUCUUCGCUUCCUUAUGCCGGUACUCGUGUCAGAUCCUCUAAAAAUGUACUACUAAACAAUCCCACACACCCUCCUUGGCGGCAUUUUUGAAGAGUCCAACCAAUAUAACUUUCGACUUCAUUUUGCCUGCAGUUGUAGUAAUGGUUGUUCCAUUUCAACUGAACCUACUAAUACAUAUACAUAUACUUUGUGAUCUCUAAUCUUACUAUAUCAAUGGAGACAGCGCGAAAACUAAGAAAUAGAUCCCGAGGCAUCCUUUUUAACCGGGCUAUAGCUGCCGUAAAUGUAAGAGCCAAAUCCCCAGAAUGUAAUAAUCAACGAGAGGAUCUUGAAACCGCUCAUAGGAUCAUGCAACAAUAUCACGGCUGCAACGCUAGUAAUUGGCACUCUUACCGCGUUAAGUACACCAGCCAUGACAGUGGAGGAGAGGAAAACAACUGCGGUGGCUCCCAAGACUCCCAACUGGAAAGUGAUAAUCCCCCAAAUAAUAACUGAGUAAUACGCGUUUUCCCCACCCUCGAAUGUAGUUGCCUCGUAUUUCAUCCCAUGGAAACCGUCACUCACAACGAGUCCGAUUGUUGUAAAUAUAAAGCCGAAUAGGGAAACCAUGAGUUGCUGCUCAAGAACAACAAGGAAGGACCUUUUACCAAGUAACUUGACGAAAACUAACUCAGACAAGGCGAAAAUAAGGCCAUGUAGUGCAGAUCCCAGUAUAUCCCACACGAAACCCAUAAUGUACUGACGGUUGGUGAUAUAUCCAUACCUGUCUGAACUAGAAUCAAGAGCAAUGAUCGUCAUGGCAGCAGUAAUGAUCACGAUUGAAUUUAUAAUUGAUAGAUUCAUAGUAUUUUUCACGAGAAGAUAUCCGAAUAGUGCAGAAAACACCAGUGAAGUCGAGGCUACAAGAGCAGCAGUUGAUGCUGGCAGGUAGGCAUAGGCAUAUGCAUACAUGAGGUUAUCGGCAGCAGUCAAGAAUCCCAAUACAACAUAAGAUAAAGUAAGUUUUAAGUCAAGUGGCGUCGGGAACAUUUUAAGAAAGAAGUACGAAGGAAUUAGGACUAUCGCGAUUAGAGGCCAUCCUGCAACUGAAACCCAUGAAAUUAUCCACUUGCUCUUUCCACCAUUUGCAAAAUAUAUACGGGACAAGAGACUAGAAGCGGGGAAUGCAACAAGCAUCCCCAUGCUACUUAGAAACAGAAGAAUCCAGUGUGAAAUUGGUUUGCUGUAAUACAUUUCGCAAAGCAUGGUCCAAUAAGCUGAUAUAUAUUGCCAUACUGACUUUGGUGGCGCUUCAUCCAUUAUUUCCUCUACAAGAAACCAUUCGUCAUAGAGAAAUGUCAAUUUUCAAAAAAAAAUGAUAUGAGGAAAAGAGUAUUUGAUCAUAGGAAUAAAAUAACGAAUGACUCAUAAGUAGCAUUCAAUAUAAAAGAGAAACCGAAACAUGGCGUAAAACAACCAUACAACAACAACAUACACAGUAUAAUCCCACAAGUGGGGCCGGGGAAGGGUAGAGGAGUACGCGGACCUUAACCCUGCCUUCACAGGUAGUUGACAUAAAACAACUACAACAACAACAACAACAACAACAUACCCAGUAUACUCCCACCAAGUGGGGUAGUGGACAUAAAACAACUACGACCACAAAAUGCUCGACACCCUUGAAGUAACUCACUUUUUGAACUUCCUUAGCUUCUUUGGUACAUAACUACCUUAUGAUCUAUGCAUAAAGCACAUUUGUACAGGUAUCUUCUGAAAUGAGGAUAUGCAAAUGAAUAACCACUUAAUACUUAAGGACUUGAAUAAAUAUAGAUAUUAGCAGUCUAAAUCGUAUUGCAAUCUCAACCUAAAACUAAAAGUUUCAGUUGCCCAACCACGGACAGAAUGUGAAACUCAAUAUAUGCUGUGUGUAUUAGAUACUUAUCCUCAGGGCCGGAGCUAGAGUAUAGCUUAUGGGUUUGGUCAAAACCAGUAGCUCUGGUUCAAACCCUAUAUUUCUAUUACGAAAUCCAUUGAAUAUAGAAACCAAUAACUUCAAAGGACUACAUCCCGAACUCAUAUUCUUUGAAUCCUAUCUCCACCUCCGCCUAUCGGCCCUAUACUUAAUUUCUGCCAAGGCGGGAUGAUCCGUAAAAAGUCGCUGAAAUUGACAAUAGCAAGAGUGUCGCAGCUCCCAGAUCUGGAGAUCCCUACUAUCGAACUCGAGCUCCAAUAUUUGUUCUAAAGGUCUUCGUUUCCGUGUAGAAGCAAACUCUCCAAAUUUAUGACCAACAUUUCGUUCAGUAAUCUUACAACAAACAGAUUAAACUUAUCGUAUACAACUCUUAUCUACGACAAGCCUUAGCACUUCUCCUUAUGAACUCUUCGCUCUAUCUGUCGGUGCUCUAGCUGUCCGAAAACCAGGAGCAGCUACUGGUCUGGACUGAUCGUAAAGAAAGAAGCCAAGAGGCCGUCAGAGAAAGGCUUGCGUUUUCGAUAGCUCAGAGUUAGGUAUCCAUUGCCAUAGGUCCUAGAGGUUUGAAACUUUUACCAGACAACUAUACUGCAAACAAUUUUACCCUCCAUUAGGAAGUGGUCCCGAAACUAUCCCCGUCUCCGUUAGUCCAAAAGGGAAAUUCUGAGCCUUCGAUACCACCUUCUAACAGAGGAUAAAAUUGUUCCAUUCCGUAUAGUCUAGGAGCAGUUUUCAACCUUCGCCAUAAAUUCAUUUACGGAGCUUUAUUGAGCUCUUAGUCAACAACAACAACAACAACAUACCCAGUGUAAUCACACAAAAUAGGGUCUGGGGAAGGUUGGUGUAUGCAGACCUUACUCCUACCUCGGAGGUAGAGAGGUUGUUUCCGAUAGACCC